GGUUCUCAAAGAAUAUUAAAGAAAAAAAAUGAUUUCCUCAUAUUGAUUUUACUAUGAAAAAUACAAAACAAAAAUAUAUUUUUAAAUUCCUAUAUAAAAAAGUUAAAUGAAUGAAAUGAGUUUAAAGUGAAAUAAUAAAAUAAUUUAUUUAACUUUAAAUCUUUUUUUUCUUUCACUUUUUUUCCUUCUAGUUUUCAUAUAUAUUUUAUUUCCGUCGCAUUUUCCCCAUGUAACUUCAUAUGGGCUUUUAACCCUUUUAAAAAAUAUCAACAUAGAGGGAACCUAUAGAUACCAUAAUAUAUUUAUUUAUUUAGGAAGUUGACAAGUCCUCGUACACGUGUUUUAUUAUUUUAUUUAGCUAUAAUACAUGCAGAUCUUUCCAAGAGGACUUUAAAUAUUUAUUACAAGUUGGACGUGCCAAACAAGGUCUAAGCUCGGCCACCAUCAUUCCCUGGCAACUGUAGGAAGGAUAUGAGCCCCUUAUCAGACUGCGUCUCCCAAACAAAUGCUUGGUACUGGUUGUCAUUUGUGGCUUCAAUAAUGAGGUUGUACAGUGUGAUACCCCACUGAUUGAUCUUCGAUCCCUUAAUCACGCACUUGAAUUUCAAGUGCCCUCCUUUCCUUCUAUUUUCCUCCGCCACGGCGUACUUUGAGACUCGAUCGUAAUCUUUGUUCUCGACCAUAACCCAUUCUUGGGAUUGCAGUUGAACCCCUUGAGCCACUUGAGCCAUCGUCCGGUGGUCGGAGACUUGUCAAAGUUGUGGGUUGUGGGUUUUGGUGGAGGUCUGGUGGUGGUGGUGUUGGCUGCUCGAAUUUAUAGACUUGGAAGAUAGAAGGAUGGGAAUUGCCCUUCUAGGUUCCUGAAAUUACGGGAAUACUAAUAGUGGGUUUGGACAGGGACAGCUGAUGUUGAUAGUUGAUACCAUCCUCCAAUUUUAUUUUAUUUUAUUUUUUAAAAUGAAAAUAAUUUUAUUGUAAUUUUUAAUUUUAAUUUUAUUAUUUUUUAAAAUUGAAAAUAAUUUUAUUGUUUGAUGAUCUGCUUUUAUUUUUUAUUUUUGCAAUUUGAAUGAAAAAUUUUGAAAUUUUUUAUAUUCUUAAAUUAUUUUAAGAUAAUCUAUUUUUUUUUUCCAUUGUCAUGUGAUUAUUAAAGAUAUGUUUUUUAAAUACAAAAAUACAAUUAAAAAAACAAAACAUAUUUAAUAACCAAAAAAAAUAUUUUUUAUUUUUAAAAAUAGAAAAAAAAAUUAAUAUAACUUUUUUUUUAGGGAGAUGAGGUAACCAAUAUUGGGACCCAAAAUAUUCUUAUGACAUGAAUAAUUGAUAGAAGAAUUGUCUAUUCCUAUUCCUACUGUCAUAACAUUUUCAUCUUCCUUGAAUUGAUUAUAUGCCCUAACUCUCCUUCAAGAUUAAGUUUACAAAUCUUACUCCAUAUGAUUAUUCUAUUUAGGAAUGAUAUUGGAAUAGGAUUCAAAAGGAAGGGUCACUCUCAUCCUAACCCUAUCACGAUUAUUUAUUUAGAUAUAUUCUCAUCCUUGUCAAUGGAAAAAAAAAGGUAAACAGGGUAUGAUUGGUGGGUAUGAGAAUUCUUGGUACCCACCUUGCACCCAAUUUAAUUUUUUUAUUCAAAAUGUUUUUAGUUUUUAAAAUUUAGAUUAUAUAAAAAAUAAAUAUAAUUAAAAUUAGAAAAUUUUAUAAUUUAUUUCAAUAAUAUAUAUAUUAUAUGUAUUAAACAAGAAAAAAUAAAAAAAUAUUUUUAUUAAUUAAUUAUAUAUAAACUUAUCAAAUAAAGCAAUACUCAAACAUAUGGCUAGUUUAAAAAAAAGUCACGCAUUUGUUCUAAACUUGCUUAUUAUUUUUUAAAAUCCUUCUCACUAGAAAUGGUACCCACAAAGACUAGUUUCAUUAUCAUCCCUAAGCUAUCAUAGGUUUUGGUUUUUUUUUUUUUUCAUAUCAAACUUGAAACGAAUGAAGAAUUUCGAGAACCAUAUUAAGAGCUUUGGCCAGGUAGAAGACCAAGAUUUUUGCUUAUUAUUUUAUAUGAAAAUGUUAAAUAAGCUAAAAGUUUAAAAAUGAUUUGCAGAUUUGAACUUUUAAGUGUCUUUUAAAUGAAACACCACCUAAUUAAGCUUCGAGAUACUUUGGAGGGUUUCUUAAACACUAGCAUUUGAAAGUCAAAUAAAAGAUUCAAAGGUACAACUCCAAUACUUUCAAACGGCAAUGUGACAAGCAAGGUUUUACUUAAUUGAUUUUGAAAGUAUUGAACUUUGGAAUUAAUAAUUACAUAUAAAUUAAUGCAUUUUCUAGCAUGUGACUUCAUUCAAAAGGAUUUAAUGGCAUACUUGAAAGAUAGCCCAAUGAGUCAAAGGCAUGCUUUGAUAAUUGGUUUAUAUGGAUCUUUAUUAAUUGAAAUUAAAAUUAUGUAUUUUUUUUUAUAUCCAAACUCAAAAAAAUACAAAAUUCCAUGAAUCUUCUUUAACUAAUAUAUAUACUGAUAAUGGUUUCAAUUUUAAGGGAAUCUCAUAUGCAUUUUCUCACAUUUUUGAAUAAGCAAUAAGACAUGGGAGCAUUGGAACAUCCCACUUUGAAAGCUUAACCUUGGGAGAAUGAUAAGCUUCACCAAUUGAAUGUUUGACAUACAAAGAUGAGUAGUUGAUUUAGAACUUAAGAUAAUAUGAGUUAUUAUUUAUUAUAUAUAUAUAUAUAAAAGAAAAAUGUUUCUUACCAUUUUUCCUAAGGAUCAUUUAGUAAUGUUUUAUGAUGUAUCAUUGAGAAAAGCAUUCAAUUGAGAAGUCUUAUGUACCAUGAGAAAGUACGGGAAGAAUUUCUUUUUCUAAUAAUUUUAAAUUUAAGAGAUGACAACCUAAAUAUCCCAAGGUUUAAAAAGUUAUUUUUAAAAACCUAUUCACAUAAAUAUCUUUAAUUAUAGCUAUAAAUUUUUAUAAUAGUACGAUAUAAUGGUUAUUUAUUUAUUCAAAAAUAUCUCAUCAUCUUAGCUUGGUGAAACAAUCCUAAAACAUUGUUCAAUAAAUUUAAAAAGCAGUGGACUACAAUAUGAAUAAGUUAAUAACGUUCGAGGAUAAAUAAGACAUGUGUUUUAUCCUUGAAAAUCACUUAUACAUGUAACCACCGACUUCAACACAAGUAAAUCACCUAUUGUGAUAUGCAUAACCAUCUUUGAUUAUAAAUAAAGUAUGAGCUAUUAGAAAAGCUCACUUUUGAACUCCUAUACUUAAAAGAUAACAUAUUUUCAUAAAUCUCGAUGACUUUAUUAUAAGUUAUGCUUAUGUCACACGAAGAGUAGCACUCCAGAUGACUUUAUUACAAGUUACAAUUACGAGCUUAAUUUGAUAUUGGAGGUAAGUUCGUUCACGUGAGAAUUGGUUUGCAGGGUUUAAGGUAAGUGAGCGCUUUGAAGCCAUCGAAGCUCUCAUACACAAGAGUGUCAUACUUGGUCAAGACACCGUCGUGUUCAGCCUAAAUGAUGAGUUUGUAAUUGAUACCAUUGAUGACCUGCGUCCACCCUGUUGAGGCCUCGCGUCGCUGGUGAUCUACGUAGUUGCCAAAUGGAUGGACGCACGAUCUCAACCAAUAUAGGUUCUUGAUUCAGUUGCUCCACCUGCAAAAGGCGUCCGGACGGGGUGUCCGGACGCACCCUCCGAAGGUUUUGUCAGCCAUGGUUAGAGAGAGAUAAAUCAGUUGGCCUUUUACUAGGAUUAGCAAGUUUACCUUCCCCUUUGUGUGAAGGUUUGUAUAUAUAGUUAUCAGAAGCUUUGUUCCCCUCUUCAAUGGUGGGGAGAUAUUUUGUGUUGUCAUGAUGACACUAGGUGGUGGCAGGGCCAUCAUCACCCUAUGGGCGGUUGACAGAGAUCGUGGUAGGUGAUGCGGCUGUCAGAGAUCAUGGUAGGUGAUCAUAUGAAAUGAUCGUGGGAAGUGACUUGUUGUCACUUCGUCUUGUCCUUUCACUCUGCAGGUGGCGGAACGUGGGCUAUGGCAGGCUGUUGUGAUAACGUGUAAGACUUGCUUUACUUCAGUCAAUGACCCAGACAAUCAUAUCCGGAUGUUUAUGUUUAUAAGUGUCAUUUGCCCUUCCUUGAGGCAGUCUGGAUAGGAGAAGCGCGCCUCUUGGGAAAAUCCGGAUGAGGUUGAUCCGGAUGAGAAUGCAUGCCACGCGUCAUCAGGAGAUGUGUGCCACGUGUGGGGAGGGGUCCCUACAAUGCCCCCCUUUUUAACUUGCCUAUUUUGCCUAAGCAAAAAUGGGCGGGUUAAAAAUAAUUGGUUUUUUGAAACUGAGUUUACUUUUUGCGCUCAUUGAGCCACGUGGCAAGCGGGGGCGAAGAGAGAGAAGAGCAUUUAUGAUGAGCCGCCGUCUCUGUGUAUCCCCAGGCAGCAUGUCGUUUCAAUGAUAGCGUAGCUGAUCGUUUGGUAUACCGAGGGGCUGUCGCCCUAUAAAUAGCGUAUUGUGCCUUCUGCUGCACUUUUCCUAUUGCGUUUUUUCUGCGAGUGUUUCUUCUUCUUCCUUCUGCGUACCUUUGCUUUUUGAGUGAAGCCCUAGGGUUUUCUGCUGGAGAUUUUCGCGUCUUGAUGUGACUGUAUUGCGGUUUCGAACCCUUUUCUUCCAUUUUUGCACCUGGUACGUAUAUCUGCUCUUAUCUUUUCCCGGUUGCUUUGGUUUUGUUGGUUUGCCUGUGGCUUGUUUGGGCGAGUGUCUGUGCGACUGGGUGUUUUUCAGUGAGUCCGAGGGUUUUUGUUGCCCCCCUGUGUUUUAUGUGGGUUGUGGUUUUUCUUUGGUAGGGUCAAGGGUUUUGGAAUGGGCAUACUGGUGGUGUGAGAUUUUCUGAGAGUUUCUGUCGUUUAGGGUUUGUGGGUUUGGUUUGCUGUAUUUUUUACUGUUGGUACUUCCUUCAUGCAGAUUUUUUAUCAUGAGGCUGAAAAAUGUCUGCGACCCAAGAAGUGACCUCAUCUGGCCCGGCCGGUGAUGCUUUUGAAAAAUCUGUAGAUAAACUGAGUGUAAAGGAGUUCCGAGAACGUUUCUGUAUCCCAAAUGGCGUGCUUGUGGAUUUUAUGGACGAUGAAGAGGUCGUGUCUACUGAGAAAGCCGAAGGCCGUGCCAUCACCUUCUCAAAUGAGCAAUUUAACGCUGGGCUCCGAUUCCCUCUCCCGGCGCUGUUCAAGGAAUUCCUCCAUUUUACUCAGAUCCCACCAGCCUUCAUCCACCUCAAUACAGUCCGGGUGCUGAUGGGAUGCAGCAUUCUAAACAUGCUGUUCAACCUUGACCUUUCGCUGUUGGAGGUUCUUUUUGUUUACUCCCUGAAGAAGGGAAAAAAUGAUAUCUUCAGUAUGGCCGCCCAUCUGCCCUCUCUUCAAUUGGUGACUGAGUUGCCAGAUUCGACGAAAGGAGGGGCGAAGGGGUAUGUGGUGGUCUGAGGUGCCUGGGCGGGUCUUUUGGAGCAUCCGGAUAGGCCUUUUUCUCCAAACUACUCAUUGGUGCUUCCGGGUAAGUCAGCUUAGGGUGCUAUCCAGCUUUUAUCUUGUUGUCCUUCUUGCUAGUUUUGUCGGAACUUAUCUUUGGUUUGUUGAUAAUGCAGGCUCGGACAGGAGGGGUCACAUAGUUGAGUGGGUAGAGAAAGCGUCUUUUGUUCGAUUGAAUAAGUUGUUCGAAAUUACUGCCGCCGAGAGGCAGUAUGCAACGCUGCUCACUGCGCGGAACCUGAUGGCUGUUGUCUGGGAGUCCCGUGAGUAUGUCAUCAAUAUUCUCCCCAGGAAGCUGCCAAAGAAGGUAGUGCCUGGGGAGCAUUACAUUCUGAAAGACCUUCCUUUCUACAAGGAGGUGCAACAGGCGGACGCUGAGAAACGUCGAGCGCUCCUUGACGAUCGGGAGAGGAGAAAAAAGGAGGGAACCUUACGGAAGGCUCCGGGGCAAAAACGGUCCGCGUCCUCCCCUCCUGCUGGCGCUCCAGCGAAGAAGAAAAAGAAGACUUCUGAGAAGGGAAAGGAAGUGGAAAUCCCCCCUCCUCCAAAGGAGGUUGUAAUUCCUCCUUCAACCUAUGUGAAAGAGGUAACAAUAAAGGAGCCGGAAAAUCCUGUCCCAGUUUCUGUUUCAAGCGGACCCGGACAUCUUGCGGGUCUGAACCACUCCGGUCUCUCAAUGUCGGCGGCUGGCCGUUUGGCCCUAGUGGUAGAAGAAGCUACGUCAAUAAACCAACCUAGCUCUCCUCAUCCAGAUGCAGAUGCAGCGGAGGCUUCUUGUGCGGCCGUAUCGCCUCCUAUGGCAACCCCAAUGGAGGAAAUGAGGGUAGAAAACUAGGGUCUGCCAUCCUGCGAGUCAAGCCCUCUUGCCCUUGUACCGGUGAAGGGGCCAGCCUCAAGGAGACCGAGUUCGGCGCGGAACCUAAAGUCCGGCCUCCUCGGGCAGCUUCAAGAUCGAUUCCAGGAGACCAUCGAAGUCAGUUGCUCAUCCGUUCAGGAUGACCAUACUGAGGGGAGCGAGACGGAGAUGGCAACUGAGACCCCAGCCGUCUCGAUGGUGGUCCCGGAUGAGGGUACGCCCGGAGAGACCCAUCUGGCUAAAAAUGACGGGGCCCCGGAUCCGGGGGAGGAAUUGCUUUCUAACGCCUCAUCCGGGGGGGGAUCCUGUUGAUGAUGCGGCUUUGCACCCUCUGCUAACCCUUUUUAACUAUGCGGAGUUGGAAGANNNNNNNNNNNNNNNNNNNNNNNNNNNNNNNNNNNNNNNNNNNNNNNNNNNNNNNNNNNNNNNNNNNNNNNNNNNNNNNNNNNNNNNNNNNNNNNNNNNNUUUUGUUUUUUUUGUUUGUGGCCCUUGUUUGUAGUGGGGGAGUGGUUUUCGGGGCAGGGCUCAACACCCCGAUUUAUUUAUUGCCCUGUUGGGGCCCACUGAUUAUAUGAAGCCUUUCGGUUUUCAGGGAAAAAAUAGUGAAGUUCAGUUGCGCUUGAGACGGGAGGGGGCCGAACCCAUUUUUUCCCCCGUUGGGGGGGAAAAGGGGGUUCCCCGGGCAUAUUUAGUGGGGGAAAAGACCCGGGGGGUUUGGAGGGGGCCCCGCUUCCAGGGGGGGGGGGGGGGGGGGGUGAGGCACCUCCGGACGGAAGUUUCAAUUGAAAAGAAGUAGAGGGAAGAUUUGCAGCUGCGCUUAUUAGCGCAAAAAGAAGAGCUGGAGGGCGAGUUUGCUGCGGAGAGAGAGGAACUUGAAGCGGACUACCAAAAUCAAGUGGAUGAUAUGUUCUUCUUCGGCUAUCGCUACAGUAUGAAGAAAAAUGGCAUUAAACGUGAUGUCCCUUCAAUUCCUCCGGGUGAAGAGAAAGAAGCUACUUGACAAGCCUGCUCCCUGACAGUUUUUCUUUUUGUAAUCUUUGCUGCUAUCUUCUUUCUGUAAUUUUUAUAGUCCGGAGACCUCCUUGUAUAUACCUUUACAACUAUUAAUAAAACAUUCUUUAUUCUCAUUUGUGCCUGUCUUUUGCUCUUUUAUUGAUAAUACUGCUUUAAAUUAGACACAUUCCAUGGUCUGAGUAGUGGAGUUUCGUUUAACUUUUGUAGAUGAUAAGCUCCAUUUUGACUUGACUUAGAUAUUAUAUAGGGUCCUUUCCAGUUGGCUUGGAAUUUCCCUGCGUCCAUUUCAGUAGUGUUUUCGAAAACUUUUCUAAGGACCAGCGUACCAUUUUUGAAGCUUCUGGGCCUUACUUUGCGAUUGUAAUGGGCGGAUGCCCUUUGCUGAUAAUCUGCCAUCCGGAUGGCUGCGCUUUCUCUUACUUCAUCUGCCCAAUCCAAGUUUCUUCUUAACUCCUCACUUGCAUCAUCCUGUUUUGCUGCCUCAGUCCGGAUAGUGGGUAACCCUAUUUCGGUAGGGAUGACUGCAUCCAUUCCGUAUGCGAGGGCGAAUGGAGUGUUUCCUGUUGGUCGUCCGGGUGUGGUUUGAUAAGCCCACAGGACGCCGGGCAACUCUUCCACCCACUUUCCUUUGGCUUGUUCGAGUAUUUUCUUUAAAGCAGUGAUCAGAGUUUUGUUUGUGGCUUCUGCUUGCCCGUUACUUUGAGGAUAACGGGGUGUAGAGUAUGAAUUCCGGAUGUUCAGUUCCGAAUAGAAAUUCCGGAACGCAAUACUAUCAAACUGUGGACCAUUGUCGGCUAUAAUGGUGUGUGGAAUUUUAAAACGGCAGACGAUAUUUUUCCAUACGAACUUGGUGACAUCUUUGUCUUUGAUGCUUGCAUAUGCUUCAGCUUCCACCCACUUACUGAAGUAAUUUGUGGCAACAAGUAGGAAUUUCUUCUGGGCGGGUGCGGCUGGGAGAGGUCCUACUAUAUCCAUGCCCCACUGUGCGAAGGGUCAGGAGCUUGAAAUUGGUUUCAAUGUCUCGGACGGCAUAUGUGGAAUGGGGGCGUACCUUUGACAUUUGUCACAUUUUUUAACAUAUGCUGCCGCAUCCUUCUUCAUCGUGGGCCAAUAAUAUCCUUGCGAAUGGGCUCUAUGUGCCAGAGACCGUCCUCUUGAAUGAUUUCCGCAUAUUCCCUCAUGCAACUCAGCUAACAGAUACUGGGUCUCUGAGUGACUUAGGCACCGAAGGUAGGGUCCUGUGAAGGAUCGCUUGUACAAGUGUCCCCCGAUUAUGGUGAAACGGGCAGCUUGCACCCGGACCUUGUGUGUCUGUCCGGAGGUAUUCUGUAAUGCUGUUCGUCCAUUCUUGGCCGUUUGCUUGGUUUGCCUCAAUGGUGUUGCAAGUAGAGGUUUCUGUGACAGAAGGGUUGGUUUGCACAUGUACAGGCAAUAGAAUAGCUUCUUUGAUGGGGAGGGAGGCAGCUAUGCCAGCCAAGGCUUCUGCGCGCCCAUUUUCGGUUCGUCUGAUCUUUUCGAUUGUCCAUUCGGUGAAUCGCUGUAAGGUGUCCCUUACUUUAGUCAGAUAUCGCGUCAUGCGUGCGUCAUUGGCUUCGUAUUCUUUCUGGACUUGUCUUACUACGAGUUGCGAAUCGCUAUAGACCCGGAGCUUGGAAACGGAUAGGGCCAGAGCGAGGUCUAAUCCGGAAAAGAUGACCUCAUAUUCUGCUUCAUUAUUAGAGGCAGGGAAUCCCAGUCGGAUGGCUUACUCCAGGUGUUCACCGGUUGGGGACUGUAGCAAAAGCCCGACUCCGGACCCUGAUGAUCGUGAGGCUCCAUCAACUAGCAAAGUCCACCAUUCUUUUUCAUUUGAUUCCUGGUGUUGGUUAGGCCUUCGGGCAUAUUCUAGCACGAAGUCAGCCAUUACUUGGCCUUUCAUGGACAAUCUGGGUUGGAAUUCGAUUCCAAACUCGCUCAAUUCGAUAGCCCAUUGCAGCAUUCUUCCGGUUAAGUCUGGCUUGUGCAGAAUGUUGCGAAGGGGUUGAUCGGUCAGCACGACCACCGAGUGGGCUUGGAAAUAGGGGCGGAGCUUCUGGGCAGCGCUACGAAGGGCUAAGGCUGUUAGCUCCAUUUUUGAGUACCGGGUUUCUACGUCUGCCAAUGCUCUGCUGACGUAGUAGAUGGGUCUCUACUCCUUAGGUGAGGGGCAGCGAAAUAGAACGGCACUGACUGCCCACUCCGAUACAGCUAGAUACAUGUAUAAUUUUUCUUUUGGGAUGGGGUUGCUUAGGAUGGGCGGCUGCAUAAGACAGUGUUUAAUCUUUUCAAAAGCGUUUUGACAGCUGUCUGUCCAUCCGCUUGCUCCAGCUUUACGUAUUGCCAAGAAGAAGGGUCGCAAUUCAUCAGUGAAGCGGGCUAUAAUACGCCCUGAUGCGACGAGUUUGCCCGUGAGGCGCUGUAAUUCCUUCUUACUCCUGGGGUGAGGUGUUUCCAUGACUGCCUUGACUUGAUCCGGGCUGACCUCUAUCCCUCUUUGGCUGACCAUAAAACCCAGAAAUUUGUCAGCACUUACGCCAAAGGCGCAUUUGGAAGAAUUCAGCUUCAUGCCAUAUUUCUUCAAAAGGUGAAAAACCUCUUGUAAAUGAAGAACAUGCUCCUCUCGGGUUUUGCUUUUAAUCACGAUAUCAUCAAUAUAUACCUCUACUAUGUGACCUAUCAGAGGUUUGAAGAUUUUUGUCAUUAGUCUUUGAUAAGUGGCGCCAACGUUUUUGAGCCCGAAUGACAUAACUUUGUAGCAAUAAAGGUCGUGUGGCGUUAUGAAUGCUAUUUUUUCCUCGUCAGACGGGGACAUGGGGAUCUGAUGAUAUCCGGAGAAGGCAUCCAAGAAAGAGAGCAUCCCUUGCCCAGCAGUAGAAUCCACGAUUUGAUCUAUUCGUGGCAAAGGGAAACUGUCUUUUGGACACGCAUUAUUGAGAUUGGUGUAAUCGACACACCCGCCAUUUUCCUUCUUUCUUGGGUACCACCACUACGUUUGCCAGCCAGUUCGGAUAUUCUACUUCUCUGAUGAAUCCGGCUUCUAGCAAUUUGUCAAUCUCAAUCCGGAUGAUUUUUUGUCUAUCCGGGUGAAAGCGCCUAAUCUUCUGCCGGACGGGUCUGGCAGUUGGAAAGACGUUAAGCUUGUGAGAUGUAAUAGAGGGAUGAAUUCCCUUCAUAUCAGCAUGUGCCCAUGCGAAGAUGUUACGUCUAAGGGCGUUUUGUAUGCUCUGGGUCUCUUCUGGUGUCAUGAGGGAGCUGAUGUUUGUGAGGUGAGUACUUUCCUCCGAAAUUUGGAUUGUUUGUAAGGGAUCUGCUGCCAGGGGAUCCUUGUCCACCGGGCCCAAUAAUUGCUAUCGGUCAUGCGGAUUGCUGGGCUCAGGGAGGGAUGCAUCCUCCCGGCUGGUCCCUGCUUCUCGUGCUAUCUAGUAGCAUUGGCGAGCGGCUAACUGGCUGCCAUAUAAGUCAAUUUGCCCAUCGUUGGUAAGGAAACUCACCAUUUGAUGAUAUGUAGAGGGGAUGACUUUCAUGUAGUGUAUCCAUGUGAGCCCUAAGAUGAUAUUGAAGGGUGAUAACUCUUGUACCACUGAGAAUUGUACGUUGAGAGUGACUGGGCUUGCUUGGACCGGCAGUACAAUGUCUCCUAAUGACGUAGUUGAUGACCCGUUGAAUCCGGACAGGAUUCGUCCGGGGUUUUCAAGGCCUGUGAGACUGUGUCUCAUGUGGCUAACGACCGAUGCUUAUACAAGAUUGGUCAAGCUGUCUGGGUCAACCAAGAUGCGUCUCACAUCGAAGUCUCCUAUCUCUAGGGACAAAAUGAGGGUGUCGCGAUGUGGCUGUAGUGUCCGGGUGGGGUCAACUGGUGGGAAAAUGAUUGUCCCAUCUAUGGGGCGAGGGCCCCCUCCAGUUAGCCCAGGCCGGAUGGAAUUGAUGUGUUCGCGUAUUGAUGCGGCCCGCAACAACUUCUGCCUUUUUCGCCUAGAGUCGUACUCCUCGUCAGAUGGACCUCCGUUAAUAUAGUUUAUAACGGCCUUGGGGGCGGCUGGGGCCCUGGGGGCUCCAGGGUUGUGAUGUUGGGAAGUGACUUUUCCUCCAGCAUUUGAGCGGAGGUAUUGCUUUAGAUGUCCUGCCAUGAUGAGCCUCUCGACCAGAUACUGGAGGCUUCUGCAUGUUUCUGUCGUGUGAUCGUGUUCCUUGUGGAAGGCACAUCUCUUGCUAUGAUCCCUUGUGGAUGGGUCCGUUCCUUGGGGUUUGGGCCACCUGAAGUCAGACAGGCCUUGGAUCAUAGGGAGAAGUUUUUCAUAUGAUAUGGAAAGAGGCGUGAGGGGCGGCCUAUCCGGGCGACUCGGUCCCUCCUGCCUUCGAUCGGACGGCCUUGGCCGGUCCGGAGGUUUAGCAUUUCUUUCCGCAUCACCUCUAGAUGGCCGUCCGGCAACCAAAACUUGCUGGGUGGCUGCACGCACGUCAUCUUCGAGCAUUGAAUAUUUGUUGGCACGUCUGAACAAGUCGUCCAUCGUUGUAGGAGGCUUUUUGGCUAGCGAUUCGAAAAAUGGAGUGCUUGGACAGAUGCUUCACUUGAAGAUCUGUAGGACAGCAUCCAUGCUGCAAGCCUCUACCUGGAGUACGGCCUGACCAAAUCGCUUCACAAACUCCCUUAAGGAUUCGUUAUCUUGCAUUUUUAUGUUUUGCAGAGUGCUGAUGUUCUGCUUGUGUCGAGCGGAGCAUAAGUAUUGUCCCACAAAAGCUUCGGAUAGGUCCCUGAAAUUGCCAACAGAGUUGGGAGGUAGGCGAUGAAACCAUGAGAGGGUCUGUCCUUGUAGGCUGGCGGGAAACACUUUACACAGUAGUGCGUCGUUGCCAAUAUCGAGCGUCAUGAGCUGUCGAUAAUGCACGAUAUGAUCGAAGGGGUCGUUGGACCCAUCGUAUGUGGAAAAUUUUGGUACGAGGAAUCCCUUUGGAGGCUCGUAAUGAAUGAUAUGAGAGCAGAAAGGCAUGGAGAGCAUGUCGUCUAGCCUUUUGCUGAUGGAACCAAUUGGUGGCUGGCUUGAGAGGUUUCCCCCAGCUUGUUGUACCGCUAGGUGCGAGUGAACGUUCCGCAUCAUGGGGGUGACCAUGGGGUCACGAUGCGGGUGCAUGUUUUGCACCAUGGGGGUGACCAUAGGGUCAGGGCGUGGUGCCCAGGUUGUGGCUACUGGUAGCAUUGAUCUCCCAGGCUCUUGUGGGCCUAGUCUUGCGCGCAUUGAAUUUGACAACUGAGAUUUUCUGUCACGUUGGCUUUUUGCUGAGAAAUGAGUAGAGUUUGAGCUUUCCUCACGAGGAGCUCGAGGCAUAGGCAUGUGUGGCUCAUGAGGCCUCACGUUGCAUGCCCCUGGGAUAGCUCCUGCUGUUCCAGGAUAUAUAGACUCUGGCUCUGGCCUUGAGUUUGCUACUUGGCCUCUUGAACGCUGACGACGAGGAGGCCCUGAUGUUGAAGCUUGGAUGCGUAAUACAGCGUUUUCCUCUCUUAAUCUUUCUGUCUCCUGGAGGAGAGCUUUCAGUUGUCGUUCGCUUGCCAACUGUCUCCUUUCGAUGGUUUGACACCAUUCAAAAUUAUCCUCCUCUCACCUACCAGAUGAACGGCUUCGGGAAGGUGUGGCCAUCUUUGCUAGUGACUGAAUCAAAUGAAAAUUUUUCCCACAGACGACGCCAAUGUUGAGGCCUCGCGUCGCUAGUGAUCCACGUAGUUGCCAAAUGGAUGAACGCACGAUCUCAACCAAUAUAGGUUCUUGAUUCAGUUGCUCCACUUGCAAAAGGCGUUCGGACGGGGUGUCCGGACGCACCCUCCGAAGGUUUUGUCAGCCAUGGUUAGAGAGAGAUAAAUCAGUUGGCCUUUUACUAGGAAUAGCAAGCUUACCUUCCCCAUUGUGUGAAGGUUUGUAUAUAUAGUUAUCAGAAGCUUUGUUCCCCUCUUCAAUGGUGGGGAGAUAUUUUGUGUUGUCAUGAUGACACUAGGUGGUGGUAGGGCCAUCAUCACCCUACGGGCGGUUGACAGAGAUCGUGGUAGGUGAUGCGGCUGUCAGAGAUCGUGGUAGGUGAUCAUGUGAAAUGAUCGUGGGAAGUGACUUGUUGUCACUUCGUCUUAUCCCUUCACUUUGCAGGUGGCGGAACGUGGGCCAUGGCAGGCUGUUGUGAUAACGUGUAAGACUUGCUUUACUUCAGUCAAUGACCCAGACAAUCAUAUCCGGAUGUUUAUGUUUAUAAGUGUCGUUUGCCCUUCCUUAAGGCAGUCCGGAUAGGAGAAGUGCGCCUCUUGGGAAAAUCCGGAUGAGGUUGAUCCGGAUGAGAAUGCGUGCCACGCGUUAUCAGGAUAUGUGUGCCACGUGUGGGGAGGGGUCCCUACACACCCCAUAACCACGCUCUUAUAUUUCAGGUGCCAUGAAGCCUGCCCAUUUUUCUCCAUCACGGUGAACUUUGCAACUUCUUGCACCUUCGGAUCCUCCACGUCCUCGAUCCAAACAAAGCUGCCGACUAGCACUUGAGCCAUUGUAUGGCAGCUGGAGAGACUGGUCAAAAUUUUGGUUUAUGGACGGUUUUUUGUGGGGGUGUGGUGACACCGGCGGUGGAGGCAGUUUGAAUUUAUAAGCUUGGAAAGGAAGAAUGAUGGGAACUGCCCUUCAACUUUCUUGGAAUUACAGGAAUAUCAAUCGUGGGUUUGGACAAGGACAUCUCUGAAAAUUGAUUUUGAUAUUAUCACUUUCAUAAUUAUUAAGAGGUAAUAGAAAAAAAAAAUGUAAAAAACAUAAAAAUUAUCUAGGGCAUGGAAAUUUUUUUUUUUUUAAAUAUUGAAUAAUUUUAAAAUUCAUGUUUGGCAAUAUAACUUUUUCACACAAAUAAUUUUAAAAUUGAAAAAUCAUAAAAAAUAAAAAUAAAAAUUCAUCCAAGAUGGUUUUUUUUUUUUAUAAAAAAAAUAGAAAUCAAAAUUAAUGAAAAAUAAAUUCAUUGCAAAAUCAUAAAAAAUCAUCUAAGAUUUUUUUUUUUUUUUACUUAUUAUAUUACAAAUAUGUUUGUUUUUGUUUUUAAAAAUAGAAAACAAAAUUAAUAUUAAUAAACAUAUUUAUUAUAGAUUCUAAUUUUUAUUCACUUCUGUCAAAAUCCCAUCUAUAUUAGAGAACCUUUCUACCACUCAGUGGUGGCAAUAUUGGCCACCAAGAAAUCUUUUAGGUCGAAUGUGCUUACCCCUUUGGCACCAUGAAUGUAUGGACCCAAAGCAUUCCAUGAAUGGAGAGAAGAAUCGUCCCCAUUUUUAAUCUCAUUAGAUUUUUUUUUGAAGAGAAGUAAAUUCAAAUAAAUUUUUUUUUUCAAGUUUUUAAUUAUUUCUUCUUAGUGGGACAUAUAUUAAAAUGGUAAAAUUUUGACAACUUGUUCUGUUCAAUAAUAUGGAUAUUCACCAAAGAUGGUGGAAAAAUCAAUCAAAUAGUUUUUUUUUUUUUAAAAAAAAAAAAAAAAGAAGAAAAUUAUAGAACUCAAACACACAAAAGUAUACUUGCAAAGCAUCUUAAUUUAAUGGGAUGGUGAGGCCAAAAAUAUUCUCUUCACAUGAAUAAUGCAUACAAGAAUUGUCCGUUUCUGUUCUCAUUUGAUUUUUAUGCUUUUUUUUUAAUGGAUAUUGGAUAAAAGAAUCAACUAUCAAUUUCUAUUUUUACCCUCUGUUUCCUUAUUGAUGUAAGACAAUGGAGCAAGAAUCAAUUCUUGAUGUAGAAUUGAUAUAGGAAGCAGAACACAUUCAUGGAAGAACAGAAAUGAGAUAGAAAUAUAGAAAAAGUAUAGAAAUAAUAAUAAUAAUUUUGUGAAUAGCAACAAGAAUGACUUUGGUAUUUAAAUCUAUUUGUUUACAAUUUAAGAACCAUAAAUCAAUAAANNNNNNNNNNNNNNNNNNNNNNNNNNNNNNNNNNNNNNNNNNNNNNNNNNNNNNNNNNNNNNNNNNNNNNNNNNNNNNNNNNNNNNNNNNNNNNNNNNNNAGUUUAGGAAAUGUGGUAACAUUACAUUGAUGAGUAGAAAAAAGGUUUGUUGGAUUAUGAAACUUGAAUUAAUUUUAUUGCGCAUCAUUGGAGAUGCCAGGGUGAAGCUUCCCGCUGAACUCACAAAGAUCAAGUUUAUGAACUUGCCCCUAUGAUACAUUUAACUCUCUUUUGAUUUAAGGUUUUAUUUUUUAGAAAAAAAAAAAUUAAAGUAUGACCACAAUUGAAAUGAGAGUAAGAGUGUUCAACAUUAUAAUCCUUCUUUUUCGUUUAAUUAAUAGAUUUUUUUAGUAUGAGUGCAUUCUUAGACAUGAGAAUCACAUUAAUUAAUUGUAAGUUGAACAAUCUUAAAAUUUAUUUUUCUUUUAUUUGUUUUUGUUCGUAUGUGUGAUGAGAUUAACAUGUACUACAAAGUAGUUAUAAUGUGUAUAUGAUUGUAAAGAAGAGAUAUACCUAGGAGGGUCUGUAAUUUUGUUGGACUUAAUUGCAACGUCAUCUUAUUGAGACUAGAAAGCUGGGACUACAAUAAUGAAAUCAUGUUACAAUGGUUUUGGAUAAUCACAUUAAGUUGUCAAGUAAUUUGCUUCUCAAGUCAUCGAACUUGCUUUUCCCGGUUGUUGAGCUUGAUCUUAGCCUUUUUUCAUGUUGUCAUACCCUCCAAACCAUUAUAUAUGAUCAUUCUAGGUGGUGAACAUUGUUUUAGUUAACCUCCUGGUCAUGCUUCCUAUUUAUAGUUUGAUUAUUUGGACACAUGGACCACCCUGGAAGAUGCGCCUAAAUAACAAAAAAAUAUUCCCUUCCGAGUCAGUAUUCAAACUCUCAUUUGAAAGAUAAAUAGGUUGCUUGGUAUGUUUUGGAGUAAUUCGGGCUACUCGAGUUAUGUAGUCGAAAUUACUUAACCAAUACAACCACCUCAUGAUGGCCGCGGCCAAGUCCAGUCCUCGAACAUAACUAGGUAGCUUACCAAGUAUCUCAAAACAAAACUCAUCAAGAGUCACGAGAUGGAGAGCUUUUAAGGUUUGAGGUUGCAAUAGCCCUGUCAUUUUUUGUCGUAAUAAUAAAUACACAAAAAAAGAAAACAUGAUGGUUACGAUAUGUAAACAAAAACUGAAGACAAUGAGAAGGAAAAAGGGAUGACAAGAAUGCGUAGAAUAAAUCAAGGGUUCAUGCAGGCUGUGACAUGCAUGCUUAAAAAAAGGGCAAUUAGAAAUUCCAAGUUAUACGAAAGUUACCUAUCAUUCUUGAAAAGGAUGAAUAAAAAAUAAAUGUAAUAGAAACCUUGAAAUUAGCUGUGGAAAUCAAACAACUUCAACCUGAUUAUACAAAAGAAACAAUAUUUUUCAUGGAAAAUGACUACUAUUGCAUAGUUAGGAAUCAAUCGGAAGAUAAUUAAGGCUAGUUUGACCAUAUUUUCUAAAAUUUAUUUUUAAAAAUUGUUUUUUAUUCUUUAAGUUGAAGACAAUUUUAAAAAAUAAGUUUCAGAAAAUAUAGCUAAAUGAAUUCAUGUUUUCUUUAUAUUUUUUAAAACUAGUGAAAAUAACUCAUACUUAUUCUUUAAAAAUUAUUCUCUAUUUCAUUUUAUUUUUAAAAAUUACUUAUAGAAAACAAUGUUAAAACAAUCUUAGAAAAUUUUAAAAAUAAUUUUUUAUUUUUAUAAAUAGAAAACUAUUUUUAAAUCAUAUAUUCAAACAUAUUCUCAAAUUUCCAAAAUUAGAGCUAAUAGAAUAAAAAAACAAAAGAAAAAAAAAAGACUAGGAAGAACAAAGGAGAUAUGGAGUCUCACGAAACCAAUAGAAUUCAAACCAAAUAGGUUAUUGAGGAUGGUGUUCGAUCAUCACCCAAUAAGAGGAGCCAUAGCAAGAACAAGCUAUUAAAAGGUAACCUAGCUAAUUAUAACAUAGCAAAGUUAUCUUGGAAUGUGGUAUUGGACUUCAUAAUUAGAUAUAAGAAAUCUAUAAAAUCAAUUUCAUUAGAGUUAGCAGCUCAUAAUUAGAUGCUUCAUUUAUCACCUAGCUAGGUUAGGGCAUGCUAGCCCAGCAACAAAAUCUUGUGAUAUAAUCAAUAACUAGGGAUAUCACGCCAAGCUUCCAAGUAUUACCAUACACUACAAGAAAAAUGGGAAACAAUGACGUUUUUUAAGCGUCAAGAAAGGUAAUAGAUGACGCUUCUCUAAAGCGUCCUCUUCGCCUCUGUCAUUGUAUGUCUUAGGCAACAAUGACACUUUCAGGAAGCGCCAUCUUUGAUAAAAUAAAGGUUUUGUUUUUGGCUGAAAGAUGACUUUCCAAAACUCUAAAUCCGAUCUUCACCGUUCAAAUUUAAGAUUAAUGACUUAUGAACCUCUCCUCCAAAUUUCAGCUUAAUCAGACUAUGAAAAAAGCGGCAUCGGACCUUUGAUGAAAUCUGGGCAUGAUGUAAAAAACCACUAUUUUUCUCUCUUCUCCUCUUUCUCUGUAAUGACUGUCCGAAACUCCAAAUCCAAUCUUCACCGUUCAUAUUGAAGAUACAUGAGCCACGAACCUCUCCUUCAAAUUUCAACUCGAUCGGACCACGGAUGAAGCGGAAUCGGACAUUUGAUGAAAUCUGGGCAUGAUGAGAAAAACCUACGUUUUUCUCUCUUCUCCUCUUUCUCUCUAAUGACUGUCCAAAACUCCAAAUCCGAUCUCCACCGUUCAUAUUGAAUAUACAUGAGCCACGAACCUCUCCUUCAAAUUUCAACUCGAUCGGACCACGGAUGAAGCGGGAUCGGACAUUUGAUGAAAUCUGGGCAUGAUGAGAAAACCUACGUUUUUCUCUCUUCUCCUCUUUCUUUCUAAUGACUUUCCGAAACUCCAAAUCCGAUCGUCACCGUUCAGAUUGAAGAUAAAUGAGUCACGAAACUCUCCUCCAAAUUUCAGCUCGAUCGGACCACGGACGAAGUGGGAUCAAACCUUUGAUGAAAUCUGGGCAUGAUGAGAAAAACUUGCAUUUUUCUCUCUUCUCUUCUUUCUCACUAAAAACGAUGGCUCUCUCCCUUCUUUCUUGUCUUCCAAAAGUUAGGGUUUUCAAUGGAGACUUUAUAACAAAUUUUAAAAUAUCAUGCAUGUCCUUUUUCAAUAAAUUAAAAUAGUAUUCUUUAUUUCAUCUUCCAAUAAUAAUUUUUAUAUAUUGAACUCAUAAUGAAUUUAUAUUGUUUAAUUAUUUGAUAUUUUAGGUUGAUGUCGGUUUAAUUUGAAUAUUGAUAUUUUAAAAAAAAAACUAAUUUAAUAGAAUGAGCUUAAUUCCCAUAAAUAUUAGAAAGUUUUUAUAAAUAUUCUUAUUGCAUUUAGUUUUAUUGUGAGUCUAAUCAUCAUUAAAUUAAUUUAAAUAUUAAUUUAUUUCAUUUUAGUUAAAUAAUUUCAAAUUUAUAUUCAUUAACUAUAAAACAUUCUCAAAUAAAAGGGUUAAACCCAAUAAAUGUGGCCCAAGGCUCGAACAAGUGCUCAAAAUAGACCACUUUUUUAUGGUCCACAAAUAAAUUAACAAAUUAUUUUUAAAUGAAAUAUAAGAUAAUUUCUAAUUUAAUAAAAAUGAAAAAUAGUUUAUGAAAAUAGAUUGUAUUGAUACAAACUAUAAAAAAAAUUAAUAUCAAACAAUAAAAAAAUAAUUUAUUAGGAUUUUAUUUUAUUUAUAUCCAAAUUUUUUUUAAAAAACCUUAAUGUAGCAACUUUAUGUCAUUAAUAUUAAUGUUAAUUUACCAUAAUUAAUUUAUAGAAUAAAAUUCUAAUAUCAAAAUUUGUAUAAGUUAACUUAAAAACAAAAAUUUUAAAAGUCAAUACAACUAUGACACUUCUCAGGAACGUCAUUACAUACCCAUCAAAUAAUGAUGCUUAUAAUAAGUGUCAAGGUAAAUAAUAAAACUAUGACGCUUCUUAUAAGCGUCAUUAUAUACACAGUUAUAAGGAAAAAGAUGACAUCAAAUAAUGACACUUAUAAUAAGUAUCAAGAUAAAUAAUACAACUAUGACACUUCUUAUAAGCGUCAUUGUAUACCCUCAAUAAUGACGCUUUUAGAAAGCGUCAUAAAAUAAAGCGUCAUUAAUUUCAAUUUUUGUAGUAGUGAUAUGAUACAUAACCCAGACAAAAGGUAUACACUUGUAUACACGGUGGAUAUAUAAAUAUAAAUAUAAAUGGAUAAAAAGUGUCUUCAAAUAAAUAUUUAUGUUAUGAAUAUUUUAGGCUAUAAAGAAAAGGAAAUUGUUGUACGGUCCGUAUGGAGAUAUAUUGUGAAAAUGGAAGAAUAUUUUAAGACUCAAUAAUUAUAUAUAGUUUUAUAAUUAAUUUUUUUGCUUUUUAAGACCCCAUAAUUAUAUAUAGUUUUGUAAUGUAAAUAAUGAAUUAAUUUUUUGAUCCAUGUGUAAGAUUUAAAGACUCAAUAAUUAUUUAUGAUUUUAUGGCAUCCUUUUUCUGAUAGGUGUAUAUAAACAUAAUCUAUGGAACUAAAUUAAAACUUGGUGUAACUUCUUCAACCACAACUUAGAGAUUGAUAUAUGUUUUUUUAUUCACUUAUUUAUUUAUAAAGCUGAUAUUGCAACAUCCAUGCCUCGUCGAUCUCCUUACAUCAUCCGUGGAGUUAUUUUUAGCAUAAAUUAAGGAGUAAUUAUUUAUUUAUGGUAAACGAGGCCUAAGCUUGGUGGUGGCUCGCACACCUUAAGCGCUGGGGUCUUCAUCAAGGACCAUAGGAGAAAGGGACCUGAGCUCCAGAGGAAGAUCCAUCCUCUUCCAAUCCAGAGGACGAUCGACCUUCUCCCAAUCCAGAGGACGAUCGACCUUCUCCCAAACAUAUGCCUCGUAGUUGGUCAAGACGUCUUCGUGUUUGGCUACAAGAUGGAGUAGGUGAAUGCGGCCGCGGCCUCUGGAGAGGCGCUGAUACCACCCCUCGUACACGUUAAUGAAUUCCAGGUGCCAGUUCGCCUUCCUGUUUUUCUCCUUCACGGCGAACUCUCCCAAUAAUUGCAGCUGAAAUACAUUGUGGUUCCGAAUCCAUUUGUCACCUUCCAGUUGAGUUAUGAUUCCGCCCAGAUCCAUGUGAGUCAUUGCUCCGUCGAGUUUCAGGGGAGCCGUGUGGCGGUGGAGCUGAACCUGAGCCAUCGUGCGGACGCCGUAGACUUGUCAAAGUUGUGGGUUUAGGAUAGGUUUUUGUGGAGGUGGUGGUGGCAGAUGUGGUGGCGGUGGCUCCAUUUAUAGACUGGGAAAUGAUGAUGAUGAUGAUGGAAAAUGCCCUUCAACUUUCUUGGAGCUACGGGAAUACGAAUCUACGGUUUUUGGCAGAGGAAGACAUCUCUGAAAAUUGACGUUGAUAUAGGAGAUAAUGGAAAAUAAAUAAAUUAAUUGAAAUUUCUAAAUAGUUCAAAAAAAAAAAAUUAAUAUCAAAUAAUCACCAAAAUUGGAAUCAAGUAUCGCAAAACCAUUAAAUAUUUUUUAUACCAUUUAUCAUAUGAGCACUAACAUUAAUUUUUGUUUAAAAAAUAAAAUUAAAAUAUUAAAUACAUUUAAUAAUUGAAUAGAUAUUUAUUUCCUACUUUAAAAUGAAAAACAUAAAAUAAUAUUUAUACCUAAUUAUUGGUAGAAUAGAUCUAAUGUCUACGAAGAUAUCCUUUUGGAAGAAAUGAGGGAAUACAUUUGGUAACAUUUGGUGCAUUAUUAGAUGGUGGGGCCCUUGGAUAGUCCCUCACAUGAAAAAAUAACUAGAAAAAUCAUCGAGUUAGAAUUUUACAUUUUGCCUUCCUUUUUUAGAAUUGACAUUAUUGAAUGAUAGAAUCAUUUUUUUGUGAUUGAUGUUGAAUAGCGGAAUCAAUUAUCCAUCUUUAUUCUUUUAGGACAAUAGAAUCUAUUGUCUAUUUUUGUUUUUGUACUUAUUGUGUGGUGUAAAGGCUAUUUUUUAUUCCAAAAAGUAAUAACAAAAAAUAAAAAUAAAAUAAUAAAUAAAAAUAAUUUAUUCACUUAAAUUUUAACUUUCAUCUUUUUUUACUUUUUCUUUAUAUUUUUUUCUUAAUUAAUGUAGAAGAAUAGAGGUUUUUUGUAUGAUUAAGAUAAAACACCCAAAUCAAUUCUUUUUAUUUUGCUAUGAUGUGGAGAAUAUUAAAUUAUGGUAUAAAUAGCAUUUGAAGAGGCAUUGAUACCCCUUUCAUUUAAUUGAAUUACCUUGUCCCGAUUACCCCUCAAUUAUUUUGUUUUCCUUACGUCUUUUUUUAAUGCAUUUGGUUUUAUUUAUCAAAUAUAUAUAGAGAAAGAGAGAGAGAGAGAUAAUGUUUUAUAUACAUCAUAAUUCAUUUUUAAGUAUUUGUGCACCUCCAAAUUUGAUGUGUAAGUGUGGACCCCGCAUUUCGACUCGCUCAAUGCGUUUCCCACUCGAUGACGAGCUCGAUUUUUAUUUUGAAAAAUUGAUUUUAUUGAUUAUUUGAAAAUGACUUGGAGUCGCCACUUAUUUUUGUUUUAUUUUUUUUAAAGGGUAAACAAAAUAAGAAAGAAAAACCCUAAGUGUGACUCCUUAUUUUGGAAAAGGUGGUCUGUGAAAAACCGGAUCGGGUUCGGGGGUCAGGUUACUUAUCGGGAAGGUACGGUAAAGACCGUAGCACCCUUCUAAGUCCCUAAAAUCGGGUCUCUACUAAUAAAAUGAAGCUGACAUGACAAUCAAUGAGGAAAUCGAUGAAUACUCAAAUCGAUCAUGCACAAUAUGAUAAGCAAAGCAUGUAUAAUGAAUAAUCAAAAUGAGAAUGAGUGCGUACCUGGACCUCCAGUGACAAAUGCGCUAUCAUGAAGCAGGAUCAGUGAAUAAUGAAUAUGUACAUAUACUUGUAUGCAUGUCAAGGAACAAAAUGAAUCAAACACGCAUGGCAAAUAAAUCAACCAAACAGUCAAUCAGUCACGAGAUCAUAUAUGUGGGGCCCCCACCAAAGCCCGUUUAUUUUGCAUGAAUUAAUUUCAUAAAUUCCAUUAUUUGGAAUUAUGAAAUUAAAUUCCAGCUUGUUUUCAAAACAUUUCGGAAAUCAGAUGAAGUUACGAAAAUUUGCAUGCCGAAGGAAAAGUGGUGUCAAAAUUUUAUUUGAAUGGGAUUUUUGAAACCUAAGAAAAACACUAAGGAUGGAGAAAUUAGGUGAUUUGAAAUUAUUUUAAAACAACUUGAAAUAGCGAAAUUAUUUGGAAACAAAUAUGGGUUGGAGAAAUUACUUACAAAAUUGGGUUUUGGGAAAAUUAUGCUUUUAAAAUCAAAUGAGAAAAAAAAUGGAGCAAUGAUUAAUGGUCACAGAUUGUAUGCCUAAAGUUGCUAUACAAACAGGGAUUAUGCAGAAGUGGGCCCAGGAUGAAAAGAAAUGUAGGCGGGAAUGAGGGUGACUUGCAUCCAGGUUUUGUAUUCAUUUCAUAACGCUACUUUCGAGAACCUGGGCUCCAUGGUUCACGUGAUGCUGCAUGCACUUGCAGCACACGAAUUGACGCUCUUUCACAAUGCUUAUAUUCCACCAUACUCGAAAUCCCAUUCAGGAGUUCCUUCUCUGAAUUAAAGACCUGCUAACCAUCCUUAAAAAUGACCAGCCUCAUGCUCCAUCCUUCGGCAGAAGGGCAGGUGUUGCCCCCAACACAGCAAGCAAGUUGGCUCUUCCUCUUUCUACUCUCCUCGAGAGCACUCAUCACCUGCAGACUCACUAGCUGAGACAUCUUCACCAGCCUCAGAAGCGUUUUCACCAUCCUCAUCAUCAGCAUCUGCACCACUUUCUCCUCCAACAACCUGACAAUCCCUCUCUUGUCCAUCACCCGCUCGGAAUGGCCGUCUUCCAGGAUUGUGCUUUGCCAAAGGCACAACCUGGGUACUAGCAUCUCCAUAGACAACAAGAUUAUCCUCCUCAAAAUCACCAUUAGGUGAUAAUUCUCCCUUUUCUUUUUCAAUUUUGGAUGGUCCAACAGAUUCUCUGAUGAAGCAUCAAAGCCAAGUUUGUGUUCAUGACCUCCCUCAAUAGCAACAGUUUGAUGCGUGCCACGAACAAUGAAACGACCAAGUGAGAGAGAAAUAGAUCAAAUGGGAAGUGAGCAGUAAGCUUGACCAUGUUCACCAUUGACGGAAUACCUCUACAAAAACGGGUGAAAGGCAUGGUUUGCUCGCGGACUAGGGCGUCCUCCAAAUACCCUCUGGCCAUGGUCAAAAGCAACAUACUGGUUGCCCGAGUAGUCACCCUGGUAUUCUUGAAGUGAACUCUGGAAUCUGAGUCCCCGAUAUUGCAAAACUUGGUGGGAUUGUCUGAUUCUCCAGAGCACUUCACCAUGGCGACUUAUGAUGCUACUGCUUUUGAUCCAGCUUCAGGCUAAUACUGACAUGAAAGCUCGCUCAUAUUAUAUCCGAAUAUGGAAAUGCCAACACGUCUUCAGCAUGUAGUCAAUCAACCUAAACGUGAAGCUCGAUAGUCCCCUCAGCAUCUAUUGAUGUCACGGUACAUAGAGGGGAAGAACCAUCGAGAACAAUUGCAAAGCCUGAUGGUGAGAGAGCCACGAAGCUGGGACCCUCGCUGAUCAUGAGUCCAUGGCUGUGGUUGCUUGGCGUUCCGGUGAUGACAGAGGCGCUUCGCCGCCGGAGGCAAGCCGCCGGCGUCGUUCGAGGGCAGCUUUGUUUGUUUUAUUUCUUUCUCAAUUCCUUCUAGUCCCCCAAAGUAACCCAACAAAAGCUCCUCUUCCUUCUCCUCCUCUGUAACAGCUUUCUUUUCUCCCGGAUUUGCCCCUCCAACCAACUCUGCAGCAACAGCCACCCCCUGCACCACUACUCUGCAGCCUUCCCAAAAGCACUCCUCAAAACGGCCAGACCACCACCUUCAUGCAGCCCCUUUUAUCCCUCAAAUAACAGCCAAAAAAAAAGAUUUUUGUCUGAUUCCAUGAUGACACGUGUCGACCCCAGAUUGGCCUUCAAGAGCAUCCAUGAUGGCCAAUCAGAGAGUGACACGUGGCCAAAUGUGCUGCAGCAGAUCAAGCCCCACAUGGGGGUCUACAGUAAGCCUCUUUGAUAUAGAAUGUAUUUAGUAAUUUUUUUCUUAAAAAUGAUUUUAAUGAAAAUAUUUUUUUUUUAAAGUGUUUUUAAGAGAAUCAUUUAUCAAGUUUUAUCUAGAAAAUAUUUUAAGCAAUUUUUGAAUUUUUUAAAAAUAUUUUUUUAAUUUUAUCAAAUAUUUUAUUUUUCUUUAUAAAUAUUUUUUAGGUUAAUUCUUUUUUUUUUAAAUAUUGUUAAAUACGCUCUUAUUGAAAUCUGUCUUUGUUUGUAUGAGAAUUUUCUAUUAAUUUUUUCUAUAUGUUUUUGUUAAUUUAUAAUCCUUCAUCAUAUAUAUAUAUGAAAAGAACUUGAUAAAUUCACCUUAAUUAACAUUAUUUUUCUUGCUUUUGCUAAUAACGGCCCUCUUCAAGUAGGUAAGGUUGUGUUUGGUUUGAAAAAUAUUUUGUAUUGAUUACCAACAUUUUUUUAUUUUUACAAAAUAAAAUUAAAACUAUUAGCUAUAUUCAAUAAUGGGGAGAAAAAAAAUGUAUUUAUUAUUUUUCAAUAAGGGAUUUUUUUUCCUCAAAAUUUCAUGGGGCUUAAUUGGCUCCCCACGUACGGAACAAUGAUAUUGCCAUUUGCAUGAGAUUCACACGUGUUUAAGUUGGUUUACAAUUCAAGGAUAUUAAAGUUUAGGAGGUGUUUAAUAAAAUUAUAAAUUAAAUAUUGAAAAAAAAAAAUUAGUGAUGAAUUAUAGGUGGGUGUUGAACUAAAAGAAGUGAAAGUAUUUGAUAGUAUUUUAGGUUGAAGUAAUAACAUUACAUUUGGUUAGCAAUAUAGGAUAUGAUAAUAAGAUAUGUAUAUAUUAGGAUAUACAUAUCUUAUUAACACGAUAUUUUAAAAUAACAUAUCAAGGGGAUAUAUUGUAUUAUAUUAUAUUUAAAUUUAAUUUGUGAAAUGAAUAAAAAAAAAAAUAUGAAAUAUACAUUAUUUUCAAUAUUUAAGAUAAAAAUUAUAUCACAUUCAAUAUUUUCUAUUAAAAAAAUGAAUUUUUUUUAUAUUUAACAAUAUUCACGAUUAAAAUAUUUAAACUUUCUGAAUAAAAUUUUUUUAUAUUAUUUUAUUCAAUAUAUAAAAAUAAUUUAUAUAUUAUGUAUCAAUAUUAGUUUAUAAUUUUUUAAAAAAAAUUAUUUUUUUAAUCAUAAAUUUAAUUUAUAAUUAAAAAAAUUAUUUUUCAAAACAAAGAUAUAAAAAAAGUAAAAAUUGAUUAAAAAAAAUUAGAUUUAUAAUACAUGAGAUAUGUAUAUCUCAUAUUUUAGUAUGAGAUUAACAUAUUACAUGUAAAAUUAAUAAAUAAAAGCAGGCGGAUAAUAUAUCUCAUGUUUGGUUAAACAUUAGAUAUGAUAAGUGAUAAGAUAACUUAUCUUAUCUCAUCACUGAUCAAAUAUGGUGUGAAACCAAGGUUUGAUUAAUCUUGAUUUUGAUGAUAACAAAACAAGGUUUAGAACUAAUGAUCAUAUUUCAAGUGUGAUUAGGUAAAAUGAUUUCCAAAGUGGCAAUCACAAAGACAAAUCAAGCCAAGAAGAAAUCAUGAAGAAGAAGACCACCUCAAAGAGAAGAGUUUUUCAAGACCAAAGCUUUUUAAGAUCUCUUUGUAAGGUUGUUGGUGUAUUAGGACUUUCAUGAAUUUCAUUCUUUAUUUAUGCACCAAAAUCAUCCAAAAGUAAUAUUGUUUUAAAUAUCUUAAGAAUUGGAUGAUUUCAUGUUUUCAAUUAAAACCUUAUGUUAAAUGAUUUUCAAACUUGUGUUAAAAGGUUUUAAGUUGAAACAGGUUGAGUGUUGAGCCAAAAAAAUGGCUCAACCGGUCGACCGGUUGUGUUCGUCCGAUCGAGGACCGAUUGAGGGAGGCAAAAAAGUUUCUCUCUCUCCCAGUGGCCUUCUCUUCCCGGUCAAGGUUGAACCUCAACCAGUUGAGGUUCCGAUGAGGUCCGGUUGAGGUCCGAUUGAGGCUCAACGAUUACUUUUCCUAACGGCUAGUCAACCGGUCGAACCCCCAACGGCUAGUUUGACUUUUUUCUUCUAUAAAAAGGUUUUAAUCUUCAUUGUUUCAUAAGGUUAACCUUCUCAAAUCAUUCUUGAAUAUAUUUGAGCCUUGGAAGAGUGUUUUUGAGUACACCACUGUUUUAUAACUUGCAUAUCUUUAGUGCACCAUUCAAUCCUAGUUUUUCUUGUAUCUUUGAGCCUAAAGUUCUAUUACUAGGAUUUUUGUGAGAUCAAUCUUUGUAUAUCUUUGAGAGAAAUUUUCUCAAGUGAGGGGUAUCACUUGAGAGGUUGUUCAAAAGUAGGAUAACUCUUGAGAAGUGUAAAGGGUGCUUGGAGCCAAAAGUCCAAAAGGGUGAAUUGGAAUCAUAAUCCAAUUGUAAAGAGAUUGGAAGCUUGGUUGAAGCUUCAAGAUAGUGGAACCCUCACUUAGUUAGGAGGUUGAGGAGAGUGGACGUAGGCAAGAAAGUGCCGAACCACUAUAAACUCUCGUGUUUGCACUCUCUCUUCCCUAACUCUUUUAAAUUAUAUGCAAUUGUCUUUAUUUUGUUUAUUAUAUACUUGCAUAUAAUUGUCUCUUAUUUUUGCAUAGUUUAAAUUUGUGAAAAAUAGACCAUCACCCUAUUUACCCCCCCCCCCCCCCCCCCCCCCCCCUCCUCUAGGGUGAUUACCAUAGUUUGGAUUAGCCUCAAAUUCCUAACACAUGGCAUAAGACAUUAAUAUUUUCUCUCUUAUAUUAUCUCAUAUUGUAUUCAGACAACCAAACAUGACCUAAAUGAUUCAUUUUUAUGAGAUUUAAAUUUAACUUUAUAUUUAUCAUAUGAUUUUUAUUUAUUUUUUAUGAAAGGAAAUUACAAAAUAUAAUAAAUACAAAUUCGAUUGAAAGAGGAGUUACAAUAAUCUUCAAAACUAAACUUUAUAACAUCUUUAGGAAAAGUUGACCAUAUUCUAUUUGCUUCCUUAUAAAUAUAUCGACAAUCUUAAAUAUUUAGAUCUUGAGAUAACUUUCAAAUAUCUUUUAUUAAUAACAUAAAAGAACGAGAAAUUUAUAUCAAUCUAUGACUAUUCUUAAGUCAUCCUUGAUAUCUAAGUUUAAGAACCCAGUAUUCUUGUUAGCUAACAUAUCAUUUCUUAAAGUCAUCCAUUUUGUAAUAAUUAUUGAAACAUUACUUAUAUGUCUACUUGUAACUAUUUCCAUAGUACCAUUAGAGUCUCUAAUAAUUUAUCAUGAAUCACUUUAAUUCUUUAUCCUUAAACCAUCAAAAUUUAAUUUAAAUCUUCCAUUAAUCAAAGAAAUUCAACGAAUCCAUUUUUCAACCAUUUGAAGGAUAUUAUUUCUCUCGAUUUGAAGAAAUGAGUCAAUCAUAUAAUUCUGAAGAUUUUGGAAGUUUAAGGUAACUUUCUCAAUGACGAGAAAGGGAUUGAGAUGAAUCUUCCUAAAAAAUACCUUAUUUAUAUGAAUUCAUACAUCCCACAAGGUAAUGAAAUUUUUUUCCAUAGGAUGUUGGAAAAUUUUGUAGUUAAUUUUAUGGUUUUCAUGCACCGUUUCAAGCCAAUCAUAUGAUAUCUUUGAAAGUUUAUGUAUUAGAUAUGAUAUUUCGGAGAAACAAAAAUAUAUCAUAUAACGAUCUGCUCCCAACCAUGUAGAUAUUGUCCGCUUUGGACCCAAAGGGACCCUUACGACUUUAAAACACAUCUUUAGGGUUAAAAGAAGUACAUACUUAUAUAGCACCAAGAACUAUACCCUCUAUCUGAUAUGGAAUGUCACAAAACCCCCCUCCCCCCUAUGCAGACACAACGAUCUCGUUGUGUCCCAUGAGAUUACGGGGUCAAACAGACGAACACCCUUACGAGGCCAAACAAACCCCACACCAAGGUUAGGGAUCGGCUCUAAUACCAUUUGUAACGACUCGCUUCCAACCGUGUAGAUAUUGUCUACUUUGGAUGCAAAGGGGCCCUCACGGUUUUGAAACACGUUUACAGGGUUAAGAGAAGUUCAUACUUAUAUAGCACCAUGAACUUUCUCCCCUAUCCGAUAUAGAAUGUCACAUAUCAUUUAAGUAAAAGUAACUCUUUAUUUAAUAAUACAAUUUCGCAUAAUAAAGUUAAAACUAAAAAAAAAAAUUGCUAGUUUUUAUUCUAUAGAAAUUUAACAACUAUUUUUUAACUAUCAUCUACUUCAAAAUUAGUUAUAUAUGGAAAAAAAUUGAUAUCAACUAUUAAUUAAAUUUAUUUUUAGCUUCAAAAUCUAAAUUAUAAGAAUAAAAUUAAUAAAAUAAAUUUCUUUAUAAUUCUAGUUUUAUUUUAUAUAUUCAAUAUACUUCCCAUAAAUCCACCAUUCUCUUACUAUGUUUUAAUCUUAAUCAUUUAUAACUAAUAAAUAAAUUUAAGCAUAAUUUAACAUUAUUCUAAAAAUAUCUCAUAAAUAGUAAAUAAUAAUUUUAAAAACAGUCAAUUAUUAAUAAAGGGUAAACACUAUCAACUUUUCUUUCAUGACUGGUGGAAUAUUCUUUAGCAACAACUCUAAUUAAUGUGGUUACAUCUACCAUAAAGCCAAAUAAUCACGAUUCUAACUAAAAGGUUUCUACAUGAAUAGUAACUAGGUAGAAAUUGAGGAACUUCCAACUCUAAAACUCAAAAUAUUUAGCAACAACUAGUUAGAUUUUAUCAAAGUUCCAAGACAUNNNNNNNNNNNNNNNNNNNNNNNNNNNNNNNNNNNNNNNNNNNNNNNNNNNNNNNNNNNNNNNNNNNNNNNNNNNNNNNNNNNNNNNNNNNNNNNNNNNNUUUUUUAUGAAAGGAAAUUACAAAAUAUAAUAAAUACAAAUUCGAUUGAAAGAGGAGUUACAAUAAUCUUCAAAACUAAACUUUAUAACAUCUUUAGGAAAAUUUGACCAUAUUCUAUUUGCUUCCUUAUAAAUAUAUCGACAAUCUUAAAUAUUUAAAUCUUGAGAUAACUUUCAAAUAUCUUUUAUUAAUAACAUAAAAGAAUGAGAAAUUUAUAUCAAUCUAUGACUAUUCUUAAGUCACCCUUGAUAUCUAAGUUUAAUAACCCAGUAUUCUUGUUAGCUAACAUAUCAUUUCUUAAAGUCAUCCAUUUCGUAAUAAUUAUUGAAACAUUACUUAUAUGACUACUUGUAACUAUUUCCAUAGUACCAUUAGAGUCUCUAAUAAUCCAUCAUGAAUCACUUUUAUUCUUUAUCCUUAAACCAUCAAAAUUUAAUUUAAAUCUUCCAUUAAUCAAAGAAAUUCAACGAAUCCAUUUUUCAACCAUUUGAAGGAUAUUAUUUCUCUCGAUUUGAAGAAAUGAGUCAAUCAUAUAAUUUUGAAGAUUUUGGAAGUUUAAGGUAACUUUCUCAAUGACGAGAAAGGGAUUGAGAUGAAUCUUCCUAAAAAAUACCUUAUUUAUAUGAAUUCAUACAUCCCACAAGGUAAUGAAAAUUUUUUCCAUAGGAUGUUGGAAAAUUUUGCAGUUAAUUUUAUGGUUUUCAUACACCGUUUCAAGCCAAUCAUAUGAUAUCUUUGAAAGUUUAUGUAUUAGAUAUAAUAUUUCGGAGAAACAAAAAUAUAUCAUCUAACGAUCUGCUCCCAACCGUGUAGAUAUUGUUCGCUUUUGACCCAAAGGGGCCCUCACAACUUUAAAACGCAUCUUUAGGGUUAAAAGGAGUACAUACUUAUAUAGCACCAAGAACUCUCCCCUCUAUCUGAUAUGGGAUGUCACAAACACCCCCCCCUCCCACCCCCUCCCUAUACAGACACAACGCUCUCGUUGUGUCCCAUGAGAUUAUUGGGUCAAACGGACGAACACCCUUACGAGGCCAAACAAACCCCACACCAAGGUUAGAGAUCGGCUCUAAUACCAUUUGUAACGACUCGCUCCUAACCGUGUAGAUAUUGUCUACUUUGGAUGCAAAGGGGCCCUCACAGCUUUGAAACACGUCUACAGGGUUAAGAGAAGUCCAUAUUUAUAUAGCACCAUGAAUUUUCUCUCAUAUCCGAUGUAGGAUGUCACAUAUCAUUUAAGUAAAAGUAACUCUUUAUUUAAUAAUACAAUUUCGCAUAAUAAGGUUAAAACUAAAAAAAAAUAAAAAUUGCUAGUUUUUAUUCUAUAGAAAUUUAACAACUAUUUUUUUAAUUAUCAUCUACUUCAAAAUUAGUUAUAUGUGGAAAAAAAAUUGAUAUCAACUAUUAAUUAAAUUUAUUUUUAGCUUCAAAAUCACUGCUUCAACCAAGCCUUGAAUUGCUUUCAAUUGGAUUGUUGGUUCAGGUGGAUAUUCUACAAAGCUCCUCAAGUGAUUACUUACACUUGAAUUCUUUUGUCCCAAUACUUUAUACCUGAAUAAAGGUGAACAACUUUAGUUUAUAAAUUUAGGUUCUAGGAAUACAAUAAUAAACUAUGAUUGAAGAUAUUGUAUUAAAGGAUUGCAAAUUUUGCUUAAAUACAUUCAAGGAUAAUAGUAAGCUUGUUGCAUGGAGAAAACAAUAUACUCUCUCAAUGAUGAAUGUGUAAAUGAAGUCUUAUAUAUAUGAAUUGGUAACUCAAAUUAAACGUUAGGUACAAAAGAUUACCUCAACUAGUUGAACAUAGUGAUUAACUGACCAAUUAGUCAUUAAAGCUCAUAAGAGUACUACAACAAUGACUAUUAGUCAUAGUUGGUUUGAUUGGUCUCACCAAGUGGCUCAAUUAGUGGCUUGACCAAUUGAGGCUCUACCUCAACCAAUGACCAAUUUCUAAAGUACUUCUCAAAGCCUCCAAAGUCACCUCAUUAGUCGCACCUAUAAGUUGAUCGAUCUCCCUCAAUUAUGCAAAAUUUGAAUAACUUUUGAGAUGAUUUUGAAAGUAUUUCAUUCAAAAAGAUUUUCACCCUAAUUUAUAAAAAUUGUAGUAGAUGAGAAUGACAAUGAUCCACAAUCUACUACAAUGAAAAGGGAAUCAAAAUCUUAACAAGGGUAAAAUUUGGUUUUUCAUAAGAAUGAACUUUUGUUUAUAUAUUCUUUCUACUACUACAGUAGUAAAAAAAUGGAAUGAAUUUUUCAUUCAUUCCCACUUGCUCUUCCAUAUUCCAAACAUGUCGUUGGUUAAAUGAACUAGGAUAUUUUUAUUUUAUGAUUCUCAUUGUAAUAGACUUAUAAAGGAAAAUUAAUUUAAAUAUUCUUUUAUUUUUUAUUAAGAUAUGUAACUUUUGUUUUUUAACCACCUCCUUAAUUUUAAAUUUUGUAGAUUUUGCACAUGAUUAAUCUCUUUCAAAGCUUAUAAUUGAGGGGAUGAAGUUAGACUAUUCUAAUACUUUUAUAAAUUAAAUAUAAAUAUGGUGCUAACAAUCUACUGAGUUUCGAUUUUUUUUAUGAUUUUUUAUUUUAUUAGUUUAAUAAUUCAAUAUAAAUAAUUAACAGGUGGAAUACUUCAAGAAAUUAGUUCCCGAGUAUAAGUGCGUUUAAGUCUUUUACAAAAUAGUGUAGAGAAAAACAAAUUAUUAUAUCUCUUUAUACCUAUCUAUUUUAAUAAGGUGGAUAAAGAAAGAUACCAAAAAAAAUUAAAAACCUUAGAUUUUUAUUCACGGUUGGCAUAUAAAUAUAAAUGGAUAGAAAGUGCCUUCAAACGAAUAUUUAUGUGAUGAAUAUAUUAGGCUAUAAAGAAAAGAAAGGUCUGGUAUGGAGAUAUGUUGGGAAAAUGGAAGAAUAUUUUAUGAUUCCUUAAUUGUAUAUAGUUUUAUAAUGUACAUAGUGAAUUCAUUUUUUUGAUCCAUGCAUAGGAUUUUUUUAAGACUCAAUAAUUAUUUACGAUUUUAUUGCAUCCAUAAUGAAAUGAUAUAAUCAUAGUCUAUGGAACAAAAUUAAAACUUCGUGCAACUUCUUCAACCACAACUUAGAGAUUGGUAUAGAUUUAUUUAUUUAAAAAGCUGAUAGUACAACAUCCAUGCCUCCGUCAAUCUCCUUACAUGAGUUAUUUUUAGCAUAAAUUAAGGAGUAGUUUAUUUAUUUAUGGUAAACGAGGCCUAAGAUGGGUGUCGGCUCUCACACCUUAAGCGCGCGGCUCUAUUUCCGGGCACAGACGAAUGAAGUACACGAGCUCCAGAUGAAUCUUCAUCAGGUGCGCGUCCAGAGGAAGAUUCAUCUUCUUCCAAUCCUGAGUACAAUUCUUCUCCCAGACACAUGCUUCGUAGUUGCCCGGGACGCCUUUGUCUGUGGCUACAAGAUGGAUUUUGUGAAGGGUGCCGCGGUUUUGGGGGAGAGUCUGAUACCACCCUUCAUACGUGUUAACGAAUUUCAGACUGCAGCCCUUCUCCCUGUUGUGCUCCAUCACGGAGAACAUUCCCAACAAUUGCAGCAGAUCUUCGUCGUGGUUCGGAGUCCAUAGUUUGCUUUCCAGUGUAGUUAUUUUUCCGCCUAGAUCUAUCUGAGUAUUUGCUCCGUCGAGUUUCAGGGGAGCCAUGUUGCGGUAGGGUUGCACCUGAGCCAUCGUGCGGCCGCCGGAGACUUGUCAAAGCUUUAGGUUUAGGAUAGGUUUUUGUGGAGGUGGUGGUGACAGAUGUGAUGGCGGUGGCUCCAUUUAUAGACUCGGAAACGAUGCUUAUGAUGAUGAUGGAAAAUGCCCUUCAACCUUCUUGGAGCUAGAGGAAUAGGAAUCUAGGGUUUCUGGCAGAGGAAGACAUCUCUGAAAAUUGACGUUGAUAUUAUCCAUUUUGUUUGUAGGCGUAGGAGAUAAGGAAAAAAAAAUUAAAUUAAAAUUUCUAAAUAGUUCGGAAAAAAAAAAUGUUAACUAACCGAUUUAACUUUAAUUUUUAAAACCUGAUAGUAGAAAAUAGAAUAAUAAUAACUUAUUAUAAAUGUUUCCUUCUCAAAAAUAUUUCUUUUUAAGACAAAAAUUUGAAAUGGAAAGUUUUUAUUUUACCUACCAAUUAACAUCAAAUAAUCACCAAAAUUGGAAUCACUAAUAACAUUAGAAUUAUAGCAAAACCAUUAAAUAUUUCUUUUAAUUUUAUUUUAAAAUAAAAUUAAAAUAUUAAAUACAUUUAGUAAUUGAAUAAAUAUUUAUUUUCUACUUUAAAAUGGAAAAUAUAAAAUAAUAUUUUGUACCUAAUUAUUAUCCUUUUGGAAGAAAUGAGGGAAUACAUUGUUAACAUUUGGACUAACAAUGGUGGGACUCCAAGAUAUUCUAUCAUAUGAAGGAAUAAAUAGAAAAAUUAUCGAUUUAGAAUCUUACAUCUUUGUCUUUCUUUUUCAUGAUUGACAUUAUUGAACGAUAUAAUAAAUAGAAAAAUUAUCGGUUUAGAAUCUUAUAUCUUAGCCUUUUCUUUUUAGGAUUGACAUUAUUGAACGAUAGAAUCAUUUGAUCAUGAUAGAUGUUGAAUAGUGGAAUCAAUUAUCCAUUUUUAUUCUCUUUAUGUGGGAGACAUGGUCAAUUAUCAAUUUUUGUUUUUAUACUUAUGUAAAGGUUAUUUUUUAUUUUAAAAGGUAUUAAAAGAAAGGAAUGAGUUUGAAGUAGCAUAUAAAAAUAAUUUAUUAAUUUUAAUUUUUUUUAUUAUUAUUAUUUUUCUUUUCAUUUUUCCUCAAAUUGUUUGAAAACUAAAUAUAGCUUUAAGAAUUAUUAGUUCCUAAUCCCAUUAAAUUUUUAUAUUUUUUAUUAAUUAAUUUAGAAUAAUAGAGUUUUUUUUCCAAUUAAUGUAAAACACUUGAAUCAAUUCUUCUUAACUUGCUAUAAUGUGGAGAAGGUCAAAUUAUGGAGUAAAUACCCUUCGAAGAGGCAUUGAUACCACCCUUCAUAUAAUAGAAUUCCCUUGUCCCCUUACCCUGAUCAUUUUGUACUUUGGAGCAUUCCUGGGGCAUUUUUAUUUUUUAAUGCAUUUGAUUUUAUUUAUCAAAAAAAAAAAAAUGGAGUUCCUUUGUCAUCUUAAAUUGUUCCACCCUCAUGAUCUAAUUCGUAUGCUUUUCGAAACAGUAAGAACUCCCUAAUGCAAUUUUUUUUUAUAUGCAUCAUAAUUCGUUUUUAAGUAACUCUAAACCUCCAAAUUUGAUAUGUAAUCCUUUUUUAUUUAGAGCGCAUUUGGUAGUUUUUUUUCUUCAAAAAUAAUUUUUAAAAGUGUUUUUAGGAGAAUCAUUUAUCACUUUUUAUCUUAAAAGUGUGAUUUUUGAAUUUUUAAAAAAUGUUUUUAAAAUUUUAUUAAAUAUUUUAAUUAUUUUUCUUCAUAAAUAGUUUUGAGGUUAAAAAUACUGUGAAAUAGACUCUUAUUGGAAUUUAUUUUUGUUCAAUCAUGUACUAUCAAAAUUUUCUAUUAAUUUUAUCUAUAUAUUUUUGUUAGUUUAUAGUCCUUCAUCAUAUAUAUAUAUAUAUAUAUAUGAAGAGAACUUGAUAAAUUUGUCUUAAUUAACAUCAUUUUCUUACUUUGGAUAAUAUAUUACAACAAUGACCCUCAGUUGGUUUGAUUGGUUGCACCAAGUGGCUCAAGUGGUGGCUUGAUGUCAGCCCCUUAGAGCCUUGACUUAACCAUGGAGGAAUAGGCCUCAUGGGUAGGCCUUGCACCCAUGAGAGCCUAGGAUGAAAGCAGGGAAAUCCUGGAGGUUUGGUGGUUCAAACUCCAGGAGCCAUGUGAGAAGGUCGCGGGCGAGCCAGACACAUGCCUCGCGCGCACCAUGGGCAAGUCAGAUGUGCACCGCGGGCGAGCCAGACGCGCACCGCAGGCGAUCCAGACGCGCAUCGCAGGCGAGCCAGACGCGCACCGCACGCGCACCACGGGUGAGCCAAACAGGCACCGUGGGCAAGCCAGACACACACCGUGGGCGAGCCAGACAUGCACCGCAUGCGCACCAGAUGGGGAUCGCGUGCACACCUGACUUAGGUGGUGUAAAUGAAGGCUGAGGGACUUGGAAUUUUAAUUUAUAAUUAAAAUUAUUAUUCCAUUAUGUCUCCUCAGAUAUAUUGAUGUCUCCUCAAGAAACAAUGAAAACGGCAUGUAUUGCUCUUUAAGGGGGAGUAGGUGACUCAAAGAAGGGAGCCACCAAGAGAAGCCUUGACCGCACCAAGGGGGCACCAUGGCACGGCCUUGGGCAUGCCUAAGACACACGACACGACUCGAGCACACACACAUGGGCUCCACGACAUGUGUGGUGUGCACCUCGUGGCCGCAACGACACGGGGCAUGAUGUGGCCUACCCCCUCCUCGCACAGGCACGAGGGCGCUUAAGCCUUGUGCGGUGAGCCAGCUGAUGAAACCAUGGGUGCAAUGCCAUGGUCUGAUGGCUCCAAUAGAUGACUCGCACCAAGUUGCCUACGCACAAUACAGGGGCGCCAUGUCCUGUGCACCAAGAAGGAUUGGCCAUAGGUGCAAUGCCAUGGCUCGUUGUUGGGAAGCUGGGAAGCAAGCAACAAGCCCAAGCCAUGGGCACCUAGACAUGGCACGGGCUCACACAUCAGUGUGGGGAAGGCACACUGAUGCACCAGAUGCUUGGUCAGAUGGCUGAGGCAUGCUGCCUGACUCAGAGGGUCUUGAUCAAAGACAUGCUGAUGGGCACCCGAUCACAAGAGGCACCUUACGGGGGAGGGGUCGGCUUGUUAGGGGGACUCACUAGCAGCUUAACGAGCAGGACCUGAGGAGAUGACAGUGCAACUAGCUAGUGGCAGCUAGCUCAGUGACCAAGUCAAGUCGUCAUUUGACCUGCAGUUGGCUGAGGAAUGAUGGCUGGUGCAAGUGGGUGGCAGGAGCAGACCACUAUCUGGGUGGUGGGUGGUUUUGCAAGGCAGUUGAGGGCGGUUCAGGCCAGUUGCAUAAACCACCUAGUUGGCUCCAAGAUUUGAAUUAGGAAAUUCAAAUUUGUAAUUACAACUUGAGUCUUUUAAAAGGGCUCCUGCAGCCUUGAAACAGAGACAGAGUUUGGGGAAAAGGUUCCUUCUCGUAUGCCUUGGGUGAGAGCAUUGUACUCUAGUUCAGGAAGCAAUUUUGUCUUGUAAGAGUGAUUAAUACAAGUUGGGAAAGGAUUCCCGUAACCUCGUGUGUCCAUGUUGCUUUGUUAUUUCUGUGUUCUACUCUGUUCUUCUAAACGCUGGGAAGGGAAGGUUGACUAAGGAAGGGUCCUUAGCACCGCACACUCGUGAAAAAUUAAGUGUGAUAAUCAGGGGUGUGACACUUGACCAAUUGAAGCUUUACCUCAACUGAUUACCAUUCUUUGGAGCACCUCUCAAGGCCAUCUCAAUUGGUCGCACCUAUUAGUUGAUGCAUCCCCUCAAUUCUGAAAAAAUAUGUAGUAUUGGUUUUUCCGACUUGGGAUGAAGGAAAAACAACCGACUAUAUACCUCCAACAAAAUUUGAAAAACUUUUAAGAUGAUCUUGAAGAAUUUAAGAUUAGGUUUUUCAUUCAAAAAAAAUUUCAUCCCAAUUUAUAAAAAUUGUAGUGGAUGAGAAUGACAAUGAAUCGCAAUAUACUACAUGAAAAAGGGGGAUCAAAAUCUUAACAAGAGAGUAAAAUUUAGUUUUUCUUACUAAUAAACUUUUGUUUAUAUUUUCUUUCUAAAACACGAUCUCAUACUCUAGUAUUAAAAAAUGGAAUGAAUUUUUCAUUCCCCCUUCUCUUCCAUAUUCCAAACAUGUCGUUGGUUAAAUGAAAAGGAUAUUUUAUUUUAUGAUUCUUAUCAUAAUAGACUCAUAAAGGAAAAAUAGCAUGUUGUAUUGAUUUAAAUAUUUUUAAAUUUUUUAUUAAGAUAAGUAACCUUUGUUUUUUAACAACCUGUUAAUUUUAAAUUUUGUAGAUUUUGCACGUGAUUAAUCUCUUUCAAAGCUUUAAAUUCACUUUUAUAGGGGGGAUAUUGAAGUUAGACUAUUCUAAUAACUUUAUAAAUUUUUUAUGAUUUUUGACUUAUUAGUUUAAUAAUUCAAUAUAAAUAAUUAAUAUUUUAAGACUCCCUAACUGUAUAUAGUUUUAUAAUGUACAGAAUGAAUUAACUUUUUGAUCAAUGUAUAGGAUUUGAAGACUCAAUAAUUAUUUCUGAUUUGAUAGCACCCUUAAUGGAUUGAUUUUUUGGUAGGUGCAUAGAAACAUAGUCUAUGGAACAAAAUUAAAACUUAGAGAUUGAUACAGAUUUAUUUAUUUAUUUAUUUAUUUAUUUAAAAAGCUGAUAUUACAGCAUCCAGGCCUCGUCAAUCUCCUUAUACCAUAGGUGGAGUUAUUUUUAACAUAAAUUAAGGAGUAGUUUAUUUAUUUAUGGUAAACGAGGCCUAAGAUGGGUGCCGGCUCUCACACGUUAAGCGCGCGGCUCUAUUUCCGGGCUCAGAGGAAUGAAGUACAAGAGCACCAGAGGAAGCUUCAUCUGGGUCAAAUCCGAAGGAAGAUUCAUCUUCUUCCAAUCCAGAGGACAAUCGUACUUCUCCCAAACCCAUGCCUCGUAGGUGCCCGGGACGCCGUUGUCUGUGGCUACAAGAUGGAUUUUGUGAAGGAUGCCGAGUUUUCCGAGGAGGCGCUGAUACCAUCCUUCAUACGUGUUAACGAACUCCAGGCUGGAGCGCGUUCUCACGUUGUGCUCCAUCACGGAGUACGCUCCCAAGAUUUGCAGUUGAAUUACGUUGUGGUUCGGAAUCCAUUUUUGGCUUUGCACUGUGGUUAUGUUUCCGCCUAGAUCUAUCUGAGUAUUUGCUCCGUCGAGUUUCAGGGGAGCCAUGUUGCGGCAGGGUUGCACCUGAGCCAUCGUGCGACCGCCGGAGACUUGUCAAAGCUUUAGGUUUAGGAUAGGUUUUUGUGGAGGUGGUGGUGGCAGAUGUGGUGGCGGUGGCCCCAUUUAUAGACUCGGAAAUGAUGCCCAUGCUGAUGAUGGGAAAUGCCCUUCAACCUUCUUGGAGCUAGAGGAAUAGGAAUCUAGGGUUUCUGGCAGAGGAAGACAUCUCUGAAAAUUGACGUUGAUAUUAUCCAUUUUGCAUUUGUAGGCAUAGGAGAUAAGGAAUAAAUAAAUAAAUUAAAAUUUCUAAAUAGUUCGGAAAAAAAAAAUGUUAACUAACACGAUUUUACUUUAAUUUUUUAACCUUGAUAGUAGAAAAUAGAAUAAUAAUAACUUAUUAUACAUGUUUCCUUCUCAAAAAUAUUUCUUUUUAAGACAAAAUUUUGAAAUGGAAAGUUUUUAUUUUACCAGCCAAUUAACAUCAAAUAAUCACCAAAAUUGGAAUCACUAAUAACAUUAAGAGUAUAGCAAAACCAUUAAAUAUUUCUUUUAAUUUUGUUUUAAAAUAAAAUUAAAAUAUUGAGUACAUUUAGUAAUUGAAUAAAUAUUUAUUUCCUACUUUAAAAUGAAAAAUAUAAAACAAUAUGUGUACCUAAUUAUUAUCCUUUUGGAAGAAAUGAGGGAAUACAUUGUUAAUAUUUGGACUAGGAUCUGUGGGGCUCCAAGAUAUUCUAUCACAUGAAGGAAUAAAUAGAAAAAUUAUCGGUUUAGAAUUUUACAUCUUUGCCUUUCUUUUUCAAGAUUGACAUUAUUGAAUGGCAAAAUCAUUUGUUGGUGAUGGAUGUUGAAUAGUGGAAUCAAUUAUCCAUCUUUAUUCUCUUUAUGUAGGAGACAUGAUCAAUUAUCAAUUUUUUGGUUUUAUACUUAUGUAAAGGUUAUCUUUGAUUUUAAAAGGUAUUAAAAGAAACGAAUGAGUUUAAAGUACCAUAUAAAAAUCAUUUAUUAAUUUUAUUUUUUUUUAUUUUUUUUUUCUUUUCAUUUUUCCUCAAAUUGUUUGAAAACUAAAUAUAGCUUUAAGAAUUAUUAGUUCCCAAUCCCAUUAAAUUUUUAUAUUUUUAUUAAUUAAUUUAGAAUAAUAGAGUUUUUUUUCCAAUUAAUGUAAAACACUUGAAUCAAUUCUUCUUAACUUGCUAUAAUGUGGAGAAGGUUAAAUUAUGGGGUAAAUACCCUUCGAUGAGGCAGUGAUACCACCCUUCAUAUAGUAGAAUUCCCUUGCCCCCAUUACCUUGAUAAUUUACCCUUUAAAGAGGCGUUAAUACUACCCUUCAUAUAAUAGAAUUCCCUUGUCCCCAAUACCCCUCAAUUAUUUUGUACUCCGGGUGUCUUUAUGCCAUUUUUAUUUUUUAAUGCAUUUGGUUUUAUUUAUCAAAUAUAUAUAGAUAGAGAGAGAGAGUUCUAAUCUCAUUAAAUUUUCAUAUUUUUUAUUAAUUAAUAUAGAAGAAUAGAGUUUUUUGUCUUAUUAAUAUAAAACACCCAAAUCAAUUCUUCUCACUUUGCUAUGAUAGGGAGAAGAUUAAAUUAUGGUAUAAAUAGCAUUUGAAGAGGCAUUGAUACCACCUUUCAUUUAAUAGAAUUCCCUUGUCCCUAUUACCCCUCAAUUAUUUUGUACUCAGUGUGUCUUUAUGAUAUUUUUAUUUUUUAAUGCAUUUGGUUUUAUUUAUCAAAUAUAUAUAGAGAGAGAGCUUUAUAUGCAUCAUAAUUCAUUUUUGGGAGAAUCAUUUAUCUAGAAAGUAUUAAGUGAUUUUUGAAUUUUUUUUUUUAAAUGUUUUCUAAAUUUUAUCAAAUAUUUUAUUUUUCUUCAUAAAUAGUUUUUAGGUUAAAAUUUUUUUUUUUAAAAUAUUGUCAAAUACACUCAUAUUGAAAUCUAUCUUUGUUCUUCAAGUAUGAUGAGAAUUUUCUAUUAAUUUUUUCUAUAUGUUUUUGCUAGUUUACAAUCCUUCAUCAUAUAUAUGAAAAGAACUUGAUAAAUUCACCUUAAUUAACAUCAUUUUUCCUGCUUUUGGUAAUAACGGCCCUUUUCAAGUAGCUAAGGUUGUGUUUGGUUUGAAAAAUAUUUUUUAUUGAUUACCAACAUUUUUUUAUUUUUACAAAAUAAAAUUAAAACUAUUAGCUAUAUUCAAUAAUGAGGAAAAAUGUAUUUAUUAUUUUUCAAUAAGGGACUUUUUUUUCCUCAAAAUUUCAUGGGGCUUAAUUUGCUCCCCACCGAACAAUGAUAUUGUUAUUUGGAUGAGAUUCACACGUGUUUAAGUUGGUUUGCAAUUCAAGGAUAUUAAAGUUUAGGAGGUGUUUAAAAAAAUUAAAAUUUAAAUAUUGAAAAAAAAAAAAUCAGUGAUGAAUGAUAAGUGAGUGUUGAACUAAUAGAAGUGAAAGUAUUUGAUAAUAUUUAAGGUUGAAAUAAUAAGGUUACAUUUGGUUAAAAAAAAUUGAUAAAAAAAAAAAAAAUAUAUAUAUAUAUAUAUAUAUAUAUAUAUCUCAUAUCUUAAUAUGAGAUUAGCAUAUCUAUGUAAAAAUGAUAAAUAAAAGCAGAUAGAUAAUAUAUUUCAUGUUUGGUUAAACAUAGGAUAGUAUAAGUGAUGAGAUAAUUUAUUUUAUCCCAUCACUUAUCAAACAUAGGAUAAGAUAUAAUAUCCUCUCUUUUAUCUUAUCUCAUAUUAUUUUCAAACAACUAAAUAUGACCUAAAUGAUUCAUUUUUGUGAGAUUUAAAUUUAACUUUAUAUUUAUCACAUGAAUUUUUAUUUUUUUUUAUGAAAUGAGACUACAAAGUAUAAUUAAUAUAAAUUUGAUUUAAAGAUGAGUUACAAUAAUCUUCAAAACUAAACUUUAUAGCAUCUUUAGGAAAAUUUGACCAUAUUCUAUUCGCUUACCUAUUUGAAAAUUGGAUUUGUUGAAUUUCUUUGAUUAAUGAAAGAUUCAAAUUAAGUUUUGAUGGUUUAAGGAUAAAGAAUAAAAGUAAUUCACAAUGGGUUAUUAGAGAAUCUAAUGGUACUAUAGAAAUAGUUACAAGUAGACAUAUAGGUAAUGUUUCAAUAAUUAUUGCAAAAUAUAUGACUUUAAGAAAUGAUAUGUUAGCUAACAAGAAUAUUGGGUUCUUAAACUUAGAGAUCGAGGGUGACUAAGAAAUAGUCAUAGAUNNNNNNNNNNNNNNNNNNNNNNNNNNNNNNNNNNNNNNNNNNNNNNNNNNNNNNNNNNNNNNNNNNNNNNNNNNNNNNNNNNNNNNNNNNNNNNNNNNNNGACUUUAAGAAAUGAUAUGUAGCUACAGAUAUGGGUCUAAACUUAGAGAUCGAGGGGUGACUAAGAAUAGUCAUAGAUUGAUAUAAAUUCCUAGUCUUUUAUGUUUUAAUAAAAGAUAUUUGAAAGUUAUCUCAAGAUCUAAAUAUUUAAGAUUGUCGAUUUGAGGGAUAUUAUGUCCCUCGGUUUGAAAAUAGGGGUUAAUCAUAUAAUCCUGAAGAUUUUAGAAGUUUAAGGUAACUUUCUCAAUGAUGAGAAAGGGAUUAGGAUGGAUCUUCUUAAAAAAAUACCUUAUUUCUAUGAAUUCAUACAUCCCACAAAAUAAUGGAAAUUUUUUUCAUAAGAUGCUGAAAAAUUUUGAAGUUAAUUUUAUGGUUUUUAUACACCGUUUCAAGCCAACCAUAUGAUAUCUUUGAAAGUUUAUGUAUUAGAUAUAAUAUUUCGAAGAAAUAAAAAUAUAUCAUUUAAGUAAAAGUAAGUCUUUAUUUAAUAAUACAAUUUCGCAUAUUAAGGUUAAAACUGUAAAUAAAAAAAAAUUGCUAGUUUUUAUUCUAUAGAAAUUUAAGAACUAUUUUUUAACCAUCAUUUACUUCAAAAGUAGUUAUAUAUAGAAAAACAUUGAUAUCAAAUAUUAAUUAAAUUUUGUUUUAGCUUCAAAAUCUAAAUUAUAAGAAUAAAAUUAAUAAAAUAAAUUUCUUUAUAAUUCUAGUUUUAUUUUAUAUAUUCAAUAUACUUCCCAUAAAUCCACCAUCGUCUUACUAUGUUUUAAUCUUAAUUAAUUAUAACUAAUAAAUAAAUUUAAGCAUAAUUUAACAUUAUUCUAAAAAUAUGUCAUAAAUAGUAAAUAAUAAUUUUAAAAACAGUGAAUUAUUUAUAAAGGGUAAACACUAUCAACUUUUCUUUCAUGACUGGUGGAAUAUUCUUUAGCAACAACUCUAAUUAAUGUGGUUACAUCUACAAUAAAACCAAAUAAUCACGAUUCUAACUAAAAAGUUUCUACAUGAAUAGUAAUUAGGUAGAAAUUGAGGAACUUCCAACUCUAAAACUCAAAAUAUUUAGCAACAACUAGUUAGAUUUUAUGAAAGUUCCAAGACAUAAAAAAUUUAAAUUUUAUGAAGUCAAGCUAAUCCCCAACCUCCGUUAAUCACUUGUGAGAGAGGGUGAAUUAAGUGAUGAUUAAUUUAUGUGCAACAAUAAAUAAUUAAAUAGAUAAUGGAAUAAAAAGAGGUAGGAGAUGAGAAGCAAACUUCAAUUUUUAUAAUGGUUCAACCCAAUCUCGAUCUAUGCUCAUUCCAAUCAAGUUUCAACCCUAAGCCAAGGAUCCCAUUAAACCAUUGCUUCAACCAAGCCUUGAAUUGCUUUUAAUUGGAUUGUUGGUUCAAAUGGAUAUUCUACAAAGCUCCUCAAGUGAUUAUUUAUACUUGAAUUCUUUUGUCCCAAUACUUUAUAACUGAAUAAAGGUGAACAACUCUAGUUUAUAAAUUUAUGUUCUAGGAAUACAAUAAUAAACUAUGAUUGAAGAUAUUGUAUUAAAGGAUUGCAAAUUUUGCUUAAAUACAUUCAAGGAUAAUAGUAAGCUUGUUGGAGAAAACAAUAUACUCUCUCAAUGAUGAAUGUGUAAAUGAAGUCUUAUAUAUAUGAAUUGGUAACUCAAAUUAGACGUUAGGUACAAAAGAUUACCUCAACUAGUUGAACAUAGUGAUUAACUGACCAAUUAGUCAUUAAAGCUCAUAAAAGUACUACAACAAUGACUAUUAGUCAUAGUUGGUUUGAUUGGUCUCACCAAGUGGCUCAAUUAGUGGCUUGACCAAUUGAGGCUCUACUUGAACCAAUGACCAAUUUCUAGAGCACUUCUCAAAGCCUCCAAAGUCACCUCAUUAGUCGCACCUAUUAGUUGAUCGAUCUCCCUCAAUUCUGUAAAAUUUGAAUAACUUUUGAAAUGAUUUUGAAAGUAUUUCAUUCAAAAGAAUUUUCACCCCAAUUUAUAAAAAUUGUAGCAGAUGAGAAUGACAAUGAUCCACAAUCUACUACAAUGAAAAGGGAAUCAAAAUCUUAACAAGAGUAAAAUUUGGUUUUUCAUAAGAAUGAACUUUUGUUUAUAUAUUCUUUCUACUACUACAGUAGUAAAAAAAUGGAAUGAAUUUUUCAUUCCCGCUUGCUCUUCUAUAUUCCAAAUAUGUCGGUUAAAUGAACUAGGAUGUUUUUAUUUUAUGAUUCUCAUUGUAAUAGACUCAUAAAGGAAAAAUAAUUUAAAUAUUCUUUAGUUUUUUAUUAAGAUAAGUAACUUUUGUUUUUUAACUACCUCCUUAAUUUUAAAUUUUGUAGAUUUUGCACAUGAUUAAUCUCUUUCAAAGCUUUAAAUUCAGGGGAUCGAUGAAGUUAUACUAUUCUAAUAGUUGUAUAAAUUAAAUAUAAAUAUGGUGCUAACAAUCUACUGAGUUUCGAAUUUUUUUUAUGAUUUUCGAUUUUAUUAGUUUAAUAAUUCAAUAUAAAUAAUUAACAGGUGGAAUACUUCAAGAAAUUAGUUCCCGAGUAUAAGUGUGUUCAAGUCUUUUACAAAAUAGUGUAGAGAAAAACAAAUUAUUACAUCUCUUUAUACCUAUCUAUUUUAAUAAGGUGGAUAAAGAAAGAUACCAAAAAAAUUAAAAAGUACCUUAGAUUUUUAUUCACGGUUGACAUAUAAAUAUAAAUGGAUAGAAAGUGCCUUCAAACGAAUAUUUAUGUGAUGAAUAUAUUAGACUAUAAAGAAAAGAAAGGUCUGGUAUGGAGAUAUGUUGGGAAAAUGGAAGAAUAUUUUAUGACUCCUUGAUUGUAUAUAGUUUUAUAAUGUACAUAGUGAAUUCAUUAUUUGAUCCAUGUAUAAGAUUUUUUUAAGACUCAAUAAUUAUUUAUGAUUUUAUUGCAUCCAUAAUGAAAUGAUUUUUCUGGUAGAUGUAUAUAAUCAUAGUCUAUGGAACAAAAUUAAAACUUCGUGCAACUUCUUCAACCACAACUUAGAGAUUGGUAUAGAUUUAUUUAUUUAAAAAGCUGAUAGUACAACAUCCAUGCCUCCGUCAAUCUCCUUACAUGACUUAUUUUUAGCAUAACUACUUAAGGAGUAGUUUAUUUAUUUAUGGUAAACGAGGCCUAAGAUGGGUGUCGGCUCUCACACCUUAAGCGCGCGGCUCUAUUUCCGGGCACAGAUAGGGAUGGCAACGGGGCGGGUUCGGGGCGGGGCGCCCCCCUCCCAACCCCGCCCCGUUUAUUUAAACCAAUUCCCAUCCCCGUCCCAUUUAAAAAAUUAAACGGGGCGGGGCGGGGCGGGGCGGGGCGGGGCGGGUAUGCUACAUUCCCAUACCCGUCCCGUUUAACUUUUUAUUUAAUUUUAAUUUUAAUUUUUUUAAAAAAUUACUUUUAAAUUUUUUUAAUUAUAUUAAAAUAAAUAUAUUUUAUAAAUAAUUAAAUAAUUAUAUUUUUUAUAACUUAUUUUAUUAAAAAUAAUUUUUUAUUAUCUAUAUAUUAAAAAUAAUAAAAUAAAAAUUAAAUUAAUUUAAUUUUAAAUUUUAAAUUAAAUUUAAUUUUAAUUUUAAUUUUAUAUAUAAUCGGGGCGGGGUGGGGCAAUACCCGAACCCGCCCCGGGUUUCAAAAAAAAUCUCAAACCCGUCCUAUACCCGUUUAGAAAAAUAAUAUCCCACCCCAUUAGGGGCGGGGCGGGGCGGGUACCCGAAAUGACCCGCCCCAUUGCCAUCCCUAGGCACAGACGAAUGAAGUACACGAGCUCCAGAUGAAGAUUCAUCUGGUCCUCGUCCAGAGGAAGAUUCAUCUUCUUCCAAUCCAGAGGACAAUUCUUCUCCCAGACACAUGCUUCGUAGUUGCCCGGGACGCCUUUGUCUGUGGCUACAAGAUGGAGUUUGUGAAGGAUGCCUUGGUCUUCGGGGAGGCGCUGAUACCACCCUUCAUACGUGUUAACGAAUUUCAGGCAGGAGCCCGUCCUACUGUUGUNNNNNNNNNNNNNNNNNNNNNNNNNNNNNNNNNNNNNNNNNNNNNNNNNNNNNNNNNNNNNNNNNNNNNNNNNNNNNNNNNNNNNNNNNNNNNNNNNNNNAGUGAAUUCAUUUUUUGAUCCAUGUAUAGGAUUUUUUUUAAGACUCAAUAAUUAUUUAUGAUUUUAUUGCAUCCAUAAUGAAAUGAUAUAAUCAUAGUCUAUGGAACAAAAGUAAAACUUCGUGCAACUUCUUCAACCACAACUUAGAGAUUGGUAUAGAUUUAUUUAUUUAAAAAGCUGAUAUUACAACAUCCAUGCCUCCGUCAAUCUCCUUACAUGACUUAUUUUUAGCAUAAGUACUUAAGGAGUAGUUUAUUUAUUUAUGGUAAACGAGGCCUAAGAUGGGUGUCGGCUCUCACACCUUAAACGCGCGGCUCUAUUUCCGGGCACAGACGAAUGAAGUACACGAGCUCCAGAUGAAGAUUCAUCUGGUCCUCGUCCAGAGGAAGAUUCAUCUUCUUCCAAUCCAGAGGACAAUUCUUCUCCCAGACACAUGCUUCGUAGUUGCCCGGGACGCCUUUGUCUGUGGCUACAAGAUGGAGUUUGUGAAGGAUGCCUUGGUCUUCGGGGAGGCGCUGAUACCACCCUUCAUACGUGUUAACGAAUUUCAGGCAGGAGCCCGUCCUCCUGUUGUGCUCCAUCACGGAGAACGUUCCCAAGAAUUGCAGCUGACCUACGUUGUGGUUCGGAGUCCAUCGUUUGCUUUCCAGUGUAGUUAUUUUUCCGCCUAGAUCUAUCUGAGUAUUUGCUCCGUCGAGUUUCAGGGGAGCCAUGUUGCGGUAGGGUUGCACCUGAGCCAUCGUGCGGCCGCCGGAGACUUGUCAAAGCUGUAGGUUUAGGAUAGGUUUUUGUGGAGGUGGUGGUGGCAGAUGUGGUGGCGGUGGCUCCAUUUAUAGACUCGGAAAUGAUGCUUAUGAUGAUGACGGAAAAUGCCCUUCAACCUUCUUGGAGCUUGAGGAAUACGAAUCUAGGGUUUCCGGCAGAGGAAGACAUCUCUGAAAAUUGACGUUGAUAUUAUCCAUUUUGCAUUUGUAGGCAUAGGAGACAAGGAAAAAAUAAAAUAAAUUAAAAUUUCUAAAUAGUUAAAAAAAAAAUUGUUAAAAUGGAAAGUAUAGCAAACCAUUAAAUGUUUCUUUUACCAUUUAUCCUGUGAGCACUAACAUUAAUUUUUAUUUUAAAAAGUAAAUUAAAAUAUUAAAUACAUUUGGUAAUUAAAUAAAUAUUUAUUUCCUACUUUAAAAUGGAAAACAUAAAACAAUAUUUGUACUAAUUAGCAAAAUACAUCUAAUGUCCACGGAGAUAUCCUUUUGGAAGAAAUGAGGGAAUACAUUUAGUGCAUUAUUAGAUGGUGGGCCUCGAGGAUAUACUCUCACAUAAAGGAAUAAAUAGAAAAAUUGACGGUUUAGAAUUUUACAUCUCUACGUUACUUUUUCAAGAUUGACAUGGGUGAUUGAUAGAAUAUUUUUUGUGAUUGAUAUUGAACAGCGGAAUCAAUUGUCCAUUUUUAUUCUUUUUUUUUUUUUUUGGGGACAACACGAUCAAUUACCCAUUUUUUUUUUAUCUUUAUGCUUGUCAUAGGUUAUCUUUGAUUCUAAAAAGUAGUAAAAGAAAAAAAGAAAAAAAAAAAAAAAAUGAGUUUGAAGUAGUAUACGAAAAUAAUUUAUAUAUAUAUAUAUAUAUAUAUAUAUUGUCAAGUUUUUUGGAAACUAAAUAGAGCUUUAAGAAUUGUUAGUUCCUAAUCUCAUUAAAUUUUUAUAUUUUUUAUUAAUUAAUGUAGAAUAAUAGAGUUUUUUUUUCUUUUUAACGUAAAACACCUAAAUCAAUUCUUCUUAUUUUGCUAUAAUAUGGAGAAGGUUAAAUUAUGGUGUAAAUAGCCUCUGAAGAGUUAUUAAUUUUUUUUAAGUCAUCUUAAGUCAUUCCUCAAUUUUUCUGUCAUAUUAUAAUAGAAAAUUCCCAUUACGGUGUAAAUACCACCCUCCUAUAAUAGAAUUCCUUGUCAUCUUAAGUCAUUCCAAUCUCAUGAUCUAGCUCAUAUGUUUUCAAAAACAGGGAGAACUCCUUAAUGCAAUUUUUAAAUUUUCACUUCAUGUGCAUCAUAAAUUAUUUUUAAAUAAUUCUAAACCUCCACAAUUUGGUGUGUAAGAAUCUUUGAUUUAGAGUGUAUUUAGUAGUGUUUCUCUUAUAAAAUAUAAGAUAAAUUUCUUUAUAAUUCUAGUUUUAUUUUAUAUAUUCAAUAUAUUUCUCAUAAAUCCACCAUCUUAUUUCUAUGUUUUAAUCUUAAUUAACAUAAUUUAAUUAUAAAUAAUAAAUAAAUUACAUAAACUUUACUCUAAAAGUAUUUCAUAAAUAAUAAAUAAUAAUUUUAAAAAGGGUGAAUUAAUUAAUUUUCUUCAUCUAAUAUAUAUUUUUUUUUAAUGAAAACUAUUUAGAGUAUGUUAGGUUCUUGGAAAAUACAAGGAAAAGGAAAAAUACUUUUAAGAAAAAUUAUUCUCCUAUUUUUGGAAACAAAGAAAAGAGAUAGAAAAAAAAAAGUAUUAUGAAAAGUUUUUAAACAUUUUCCUAAAUGAAAUGAAAAUUUGGAAGUACGUACAUUUGUCAACAAUUUUAAUUUUUUUUUCUAUUUUUUUUUCUAAUUAUUUUUUUCAAUGUUUAUGACAACUAUAGUAUUUUUUUAUUUAAUAUAUAAUAAAAUAAAUAAAUAAAAAUAAAAAUGUAUUCAAACAGCACCUCAAGCAAAAUUUAACUUCAAUUUAACUUAAAGUGCAUAUAGUAAAACUUAAUACUUUUUACUUAAUGAUUCAAAUGAACUUUUAAGUUAAAUUUUUUUAAGGGUAUUCAAUAAAACUUAAUAUUUAGUUUUUAAUUUAAAUAUUAAAAUUAUUUUAUAAAAUUAAAUUUUUUUCUAAAUCAUCAAAGUGACAUAUUUGUCUUUGUUAAUUUUAACUAUUAUGUAUAUUUUUACUAAUCUUAAAUAAUAAAUUUAUUUAUUAAAUAUUUAUAUUUAAAGUAUUGUAAAAGCAUGCUAUUAUUAUAAAGGGAUUCAAGGUAAAUUACUUAGAAUUCAACCUUAUUCUAAACACUUAAGAUGAAACUUGAGAAGUUAGUGGCCUUAUGUGAUUCUUAAAACCUGUUACCACCCUUAGUUGAAUAACUAACUAAGAGUGGAUUCACAUAGAAAGAGAUUUUUUUAAAGAUGAAAAAUAGAAAAAUGCAUAAGCCUAUUCAUGCUUAUCCAAGAGGAAAAAAAUAAGUAAAUAAAUAAGUGAAUUCCAAUUCUUAAUUAGGUUGAGGGAAUGUAGUCUUUUGAUAGCCAUGACUUAGAGGUAAGAAAUUUUGAGUCCUUGAACGAACGAGUGGUAAAGGUCAAAGUUUGAAAGGAUUGAUGGAAUGAGUAGUAAAGGAGGUUUAAAAGGAUUAAGAUAAAUACUAAAUAUCUUUUCAUGGGUUUAGUUUGAUUUGCAAUCGGUUUCCUCAAUAGGGAGGAAAAUGAAAUAACUUGACUUUUUCAACUAAGGGAUUCAAGCGCUAAAUUAGUUUAGCGAGUAAAUGGAUGAGCCAAUGCAAUCGAGAAGGUGGAAUUGGUUACCCUCAAUGUGGUGUUUGGCUUCAAUUCAGUUGAAGGGGUUUAAGUUUGAUUUCAUAUACCUUGGAGCGAGUUGCAUUACCAUAGGAAUGUAUAGUUGAUUUUCUAUAACUUAGUAAAUUGAUAUAUAUUGAUAAUAAAUAACUUUGAGUGUUAAAAAAUCAUAAAUUUUAAGAAUCUUGUUUUAUUUAUGAUUAAAGUAUUUUAGAUAGAGUAAUAAUUUGAAUUUCUCAAACACAUGGAUUGUAUUUUUAUUAUGCCCAUUAUUCUCUUUUAUUGUUAAGGAGUAGUAAUGUUCAAAUUAAAGCAAGUGAUUAAAACUAUUGAAAAAAAAAAGGUAUUUUCACACUUAAAACCUAGAUUUUAUCAUGAAUUGAGUAUUAAUAAUAUACUUUGAACUUGAAUUCAUGCGGCAUUCCAUUUUAGAGUUAAUUUGUUUAUUUAAGUGAAAAAAUAAAGUAAAAGAAGGAAAAUACAUAUUUUGGAUGAAUUUCAAGAGAAGAAGGAUACAUAAGGUUGAUGAAAGCAACAUGAGAGCCAGAACAUUCCAUUGAUGUCUAAACAGCUAGUAGAAGGAGACAGUGUCUUAGACAUUUGGUUAUGAGGACUAAGAAGGUAAACGAUUAUUUAGAAUGACUACAAAGCAAAAUAAUCAAUCAUUACAAGGGAGAAAAUCAAUUGACCUAUGGAGAAUGAUUAAUUGUCCUAGGUAAAUGUUCCUUAGAAAAUAAUGGAAGUUAUUACUUAAAAAGAGAGGAUGAUUAAUUAUCCUAAGGAAGGCUUGAUCAACUGCCUUCAUUUGAAAAACAUGCGAUUGAACAUCCCAUGCACAAAAACCUUAAUUGUCCCUUGAAUGUCGUAUAUUAUUGAAGAAUAUGAUCACAAUGAUAUCUCAUAGACACAUGGUUAUCAAGAGUUCCUUUUCAGCUAAUGAGUACAUCCAUUUCGUGGAUCAUGGGAUAGAGUGGGGCUAGAGAAUAUUCUACCACAUCAACAAUGGACAAAAGAAUUGCCCUUUCUAUCAUGUUAUAUUUAUAUGCUUCUUGAUAAUUGAUAUAGACACCAAAAUCAAUUAUCCAUCUUUUUAUUGAUGCAAGACAAUAGAAUUUAUUUUCCUUUUUUUUUUUCCAUUUUAUCACCUAAAGAAUAAAAGAAUUGUCGGUUUCUAAUCUUAUAUGCUCCAUUAUUAUGAUUGAUAUCACAAAAGAAUCAACUAUCAAUUUUUAAGCUCUUUUUUUUGUAAUUGACAUACAACAUAAAGUAAUGAGAGAAAAGAAAAAAUAAAUUUCUAAAUAAUUCGGAUAAUAACUAAAACAGUAAGGACACUGUACCAUGAAAUGCUACAUUGAUAUUAUGAGGCUUAUGUGCACGUUGGAGAUAAAUGGUGGUCAUUAAAAACAAUAAAAAUAAAGUGAAAAAUAAUUAAUUUUAUUUCAAAUUAAAAUUUUGAAAUUCAUCCUUUUGCUAUGUAUUUUAAUUUUUUUUAGAGUUUAAAAUAUAUAUAUAUAUAUAUAUAUAUAUAUAUAGAGAGAGAGAGAGAGAGAGAGAGAGAGAGAGAGAGAGAAGACUUAAAAAUAGGACACAAUUUUUAAUUUUUUUACUUUUUAUAGUAUGAUUACAAAAAUGUUUUUGUUCUUUUAAACAAUAAAAUUACAAUGAUCAAACAUACAUAAAAAAGAAUUUAUGCAUUUUAGCCCUUUUAAGUCUAGUAUAUGAUGCCAGGUGGGAGUGGUGGGGCUUCAAAAUAUUCACUGAGAAAUGGAUAGAAGGAUUGUCUAUUUCUAAUUUUUGAUAGAUUUCAAGAUUCUUUUUGUGAUUGAUGUAAUAUAAGAGAAUCAAUAAAAAGAAUUGUUUGUUUGUAAUCUUGUCACGCUUUCUUCCUCUCUUUUCUAGAAGUGCAAAAGGAAUCAAUUGUCUAUUUUUAUGCUCCUUCUCCACAAUUGAUGUGAAAAAUCAUAAUCAACUAUUGAAGAAGUAUUUAUAUAAGAAAUGAAGUCUAUCCUACGAAAAAAUAAAGAAUAUGAGGAAAAAAAUGUAAAUAAGUAAACAAUAUAAAUUAAAUAAAAAAAAUAUAGAAAACUUAACAACCAAAACAAUCAAUAUCAAGCCAUCCAUAUUUUUCAUUUUAAUACAAACAUGAAGAUCCUUCUAUUUUAGUCACGAGUACUCAUACUAUAAAUGUGAAAUUUAAUGACAAAUUUUUUUUAUUCAUGACUAAAAUUUCAUUAAUAAUUAUGAAUGUUACAUUGUAAAAGAAAAUUUUUGUCGUAAAAUAUUUUAUCAUUAAACUUUUGCUUACAAAACUAUUUUUUGUUAUUAAAAUUUGUCACGAAAAAAUUAGCGUCAAAAGUUGCCACUCCCCCAUAUGGCCAAAAAAAAUUAUGAUGAAAUGCAUAUAUUUAUGAUGAAAUUAUUUGUUAUUAAUUUUCAUUUUUCAGUAAUAAACAAUUUUUGUCAUCAAUGACAAAAUAUGCAUAUUUGUGAUGAAGUUAUUUGUCACUAACUUUCAGUUUCCAUUAAUGAAUAUUUUUUGUCACCAAAUCCUCAACCAUUUUUUGGAAAAUAUAUUUAGUGCCUAUAAUUAUUUCAGUUGCCAUAAAGAAACAAUUUCAUUUUCGAUACAAAACAUACAUUAUAACUUUUGGACUUUGGAGUUACAGUAUGAUUCCUUUAUUUGGAUCUAGGUCAAUGUAAAGAUGAGUGGCCCAAUUGUGAAAACCAUCCAAUUGGCCCACUAUGAGAGGAAAAAUGGGCCAAGAAAUCAAUGGGCCAAUAAAGUUUUAAAAUUUUGCAUCUAGAUUCAACUAGAGUAGCCCAACCCAAAUUCAUCUAAUGAAACUCAAAAGUAAUAUAUAUUCAUUGCCUAUAAGAUUUGAAUCCAAGUAAAAACAAGCUUAUUAAGUUUGGAUCGAGUCCAACUUGAAUAAAUAAUCUUUAAAUUCAGGGUGAGUUUGGAUUGAUCAUUAAUUCUAUUUAAUUAAUACUAAUAAAAUCGAAUUAUACAUAAGUAUAUGAUUAUUUUAACACAAAUAGGUAUGUUUAUAAGGGAAAAACCCUAAUGGAUUGAAAGAUAAAUGAAAAAUAUUUUUAAAAUGGGUUGAAUAAUCAUUUAUUAGAAAACUCCAAUUUAUAAAAUUUUAAAACAAAAGAAAAAAAAUAGUUUCACAUAUAACGUUUUUAAGGAACACUCGAGAGCUCCCAAUAUUUUUAAUUUUUUCAAGCAUUAUCAACUUGUUUUUUCAAAAGUAAAUAUUCGCACAUCUACGUACUUUUUAUCUCAUCACUAAACACACUAAAAUGUCUUAUAUACUCCCUCAUUUUCCCACUUUAUGUUCGUACCAUCAAUAUAACUUAACCUUAAAAGUCGAAAAGUAUAUUAGUCAAAAAAAUAUAUACAAAAAUACAUAGUUUUAUAUCAAUGAUAUUUGAAACAAAAUUAUCAACUUAUUUUUCAUCAAAUCUAACCCACAAAACCCUCUUGAAUGUAUAAUUUUCUCCUUAUUCCAGAAGCUUGAAUUGAUCAAAUAUAAAAAUAUUGGGAUGGGUUUGCAACUUGGUCUCCAUAGAAAAAAAAAUGUCCAUAAAUUUGAAAAAAGAAAAAUGUAAAUUCCUCUAUCAUUGACUAUUUUCAUCAUACCAAGAAGGAAGGUGCACGCCAAAGUUCCCUUCAUAUCCAUCAGCUUCUUUGGAGUCAAGCAAGACCCUCCAAAGAUCCAGUAGUUAAAAGUAGUUAAGACACUGAAAGAUGCAUUUACUUUUGAAAAAACAGUCUGAUCUUUCUAUCGUUGAAAACAAUGUUUAAAGUUGAAUCACAACAUUCAAAAAUAUGUAUAUAAAACUCUUACGCGUGAAUCUUACGCCUUGCGUUAUAAUUUAUUGGGCUUUUAAAAAAAAAUGAGAUUUUUUUUUUUUUCUCUACCAAGAAUAGAUAAUAUAAUUUCCAAAGCGAACCACUAAAAAUAAAAGUUGUAUCGUCGUUGAUAAUUGUUUUUUUAAAGGGUUUUUUGUUCUCCAAACCAAAAAAAAAUAGAAAAACACGUUUAACAGCCAAAAAUUAUUUUUUAUUUUUUGUUUUUAAAAACAAAAAAUUUAAUGUUUUCAAACAAUAUCUUUUAAUUAUAUUUUAUUUUUUUCACUUAAUUUUUUAAAAUUAUUUUAAAAAAUAAUUAUAUAAAUAUAUAGAAUGAUUAAAAAUAAAACACUAAACAUAAAAAUUAUUUUUAAAACAUGUUUAAAAAUAUUAAAAACAAGUUAAAAAUGUUUUAUAUUUCCAAGCAGAUCUUUGUUUUAUAAAAUAUCAUAAAAUAGUUUUCAAAAACUAUUCUUAAAAAUUGUUUUCCAAACUGUUUUCAAAAACUAUUAUCAAACAAACCCAUAAUCUCCAACAUGUCCUUUAUUUUAAUAUUUUUAAUGUAUAAAUUUAGUUAUAUAUCCUCAAUUAACCCCUUUUUUCCUCUUAUUUGUUUCUAGACUAAGAAAUAUAAUUUAAUUAUUUACAAAAAUAUGUUAUAUACUUGUAAAUACUUGAUCCGCCAUUACCUACUCUAAUAUAUGAGCUUUUAAGGCUUUGUUUUGUAACUAUUUUCAAAACUAAUUCUCAAAAAUAAUUUUUGAGAAUAAUUUUUAAAAUUGUUUUCUAAUGUUUUAUACAACAGAUGUUUGUAUGAAAAUUGAAAUAUUUUUAACUCAUUUUCUAUGUUUAAAAAUAAAAUUUAUAUGUAAUAUUUUAUUUUCAAUUAUUCUAUAAAUUAUGUUUUAAAACAUUUAUCCGAAAAAAAAUUUUAAAAAAUUAAAAGACGUUGUCUUAAAACAUCGUGUUUUUCUUAGUUUUGAAAACAAAAUACUAUUAUCUGCUUUUUGUUUUGUGAUUAUCAAAUAUAUUUUUUUAUUUUUUUAUUUUUUGUUAAAAAAAUAUAAACGAAAACAGUUAUCUAUGGUCUAAGUUUUACACCACAUGUGAGAAAAUCAUCCAUAGUCAGGAUGAUUCUCAUUGAUUGAAAACAAAAAACAAAAAUAAAUAAAUAAAAAGGAAAGAAAAACAUAAGGAAUUGACCAUAAAGCUUAAUUAUUCCUUCUUUAAACUUUAAUUAAUUAAGCAAUUAAGAUUAAAAUAAAGCUGACUUUGAAUUUUAGUCAUUAAUUAUUUUGUUUCAAGGAUAGGUUGUCUUUUGUGCUAAUGUCAGUGUGAAUUGUUUCGUAUACACUAUACAUAUAUCGGCUGAAGUUGGGAGGAAGCUGCACCUUUGAGGGCUAGACGUAUAAAUUUAGAAGAAGAGAGAAGAAGAUUUUUAGGGCACACAGUCUUGGUAAUAUCAACAGACCUCAAGCCUAGUUUUCUUAAACAAGACCAUGAAGGUAUGUAUGAUGAAGGCUAAAUUGGAAAUUUUCAAGUGAAAAAUCUGAGAUGAUUCAACCUUGGUAUAUAUUUGACUUGAUGCAGCAAAAGGUGGUGAUCAGUGUCUCCUUCAAUGGCAACAAGAAUUGUCAGUCCAAAGCCUUGAAGAUUGCAGCUGGUUUUUCAGGUAUUUAAUUUUCUCCUCAUAAUUUUUUGCAUCAGUAAUCAUUAAUCACCAAUUUGUGUGUUCAUUUUUUAAAUACAGUUCAAAUUUAACCAAAUUUAAAUUGGGUAUCGACAAAGAGUUCAAUAAAAUUUUAAAAAUCUAAAAAAUUACUUAAAAUGAUUUGUGUCGGUAUUUGAUAAGUCUCUUGUGAUAAAAAUUACUUUUUUGUAACUUUUUGGGUAAAUUCUAAAAUUAAAAAUCAUUUUAAAAUUUUAAAGAUUAGUUUAAAAUGAUUUUUUGGGUUGGUAUUUAAUAAAUUCUCCUUAUCAAUAUUAUUAUUAUUAUUAUUAUUAUUAUUAUUAUUAAAAGUACUUUAUAUUUAUAUGGUGAAAAAGAGAAAAAAUAAAAAUAAAGACAAGAUAGAAGGAUGACUAGCAGGAGAAAGAAAGAAAGGAAAAGAAUUUGAUCCUUUCACUAUAAGUUGGGCCAGGCCUGCCUAAGGAUUUUGGGCUAAAGUCCAAUCCCACCCAAGCCAACAUGAUCAAUUCCUUUAGGGUAAAAAUUGGGCUGAUUUUUUAAACACAAACCCAAUCCACCAAACCACUAAAAUGCAUCUCAAAAUAUGAUAUGGAAGGAAAAUCCCUGAAUUAAGACUAGCUACAAUUUUGCCAAAUGCUUAGGCUUAGAAUUAAGGUGGUGUUUGUUUUUUUACUUAAUUCUAAAUAGAACCUUAAUGCUUAAUAGUAUUAAAUAUUAUGUUGUUUGUUUUUGUAGUAUUUUAUUUCUAUUAAGUAUUAAAAAGUAAAAAAAAUCAUUGUGUUAUUUUUUCUAUUUAGAAAAAGUCACAUAUUUUGGUUUUUUCUAUUUAGUAAAAAGUUUAUAAUAAGUCAUGAAAAAGUAAAAAAACAAACAACCUAAAUUCUAAAACUAAAUGGUUUUCAACAAAAAGCCAAAAAAACAAACACCACCUAAGUCUGACUUAGAAAUCAACAUUUUAGCUUACCAAAGCCCAAAGUUUCACCUGUAUCAUGGAUCCAAGCCAAGAGGGCCUACCCUCUUCACAUAUCUAAAUAGUAGGAAAUGGGAAUUAACUUUUUAACCUAGACCAACUCACAUGAGCCAAGAGCAAUCCAAACCCAACUUUAAUCUAGGCUAAGCUUACUUCUUUAUUAAGUUAAGACUUAAGACUCAAGUAAAAUCGCAAGAUUCUAAUGGUUAUUCAUGAUGUGAUAGGUGUUAACUCUACAGCAUUAGAAGGUGAGGACAAGAAUCAAAUUGUUGUUGUAGGUGAGAACAUCGAUGUGAUUGAGCUCGUAAAGAAGUUGAAGAAGAAGGUUGGAUUCUCUACACUCAAUAGUGUGACUCUGGUGGAUGGAGAAGAAAAAGAGGAGGACGAAGAAGAGAAGCCUAUUGAGUGGCCACACCAUCAAGUGGGCAUACCACAUUAUUACCUCUAUGAUGUUCCUUUAAAUCGCUCAAACGACUGUAGUAUCCUCUAAAAGAUAGAGAAGUUACUACAACAUUAUGUAACAAUAAAUUACCUAUAAAGGAAUAUUAUCUUAAGUAAUUAUCAUUUGCCAUUUAGAAAGUCAAAAACCUAAGUUCAUCGAGAUCUAUAUCUUAGAAAAUAAAAAUAAAUAUUGCUAAAGGUCAUAUUUCAAAGUAUAGAAGUAUAAAUUUGUUAGUUCAAUCUUAGGGUGUAACUUGGAAAGAUUGGCCCAAUGUAACUCGAAUCCAAUCCAAUGUUUGGGUGAGGUUAAGUAAACAUUUUUAAUAAUCGGGUUGAUCUCAAGUUGAAUUUCUUCAAUUUGAGCUUAAUUUGGAUGUGAUUGAGUUAGGACUCAAGCCAAAAACUUCCUCGCUCUUUGAAAAUUGCAUCUUUUGGUAAUGCACCACAUACAUCUAAGCCAAUACAAAUCAAGAAGCAAACUGUUGAAUCCACAUUGGUAGCAUCACUAUUUGUUGAAUCCACAUUGGUAGCAUCACUAUUUGUCUAACAACAACUUCAAGACAUGAUAACUUACAUUAUCAUAAUGCAAUAUGUCGCACACUUACAAAGUACACUCAUGUAUUAUAAGCUUUACCCCAAGAUGAUUGAUAACCCACAUACGCAUACGAGUUAUCAACCUCCAAAGUUUCAAUUAUUCGAUGAAAAGGGAAACUCAAAGCAAUACGCUGUCUAUUUCAUCAAAACUUGCAAUAAUGCAGAAAGCUCGGACCAAGGUUCAAACAAUCCAAACUUAACCUAAACAUGAUUUAAUAUUUUUAAAUAAUAUUCUUUUUUUUUUAAUUUUUAAGAAAAGUAUAAAAUUAGAAUUAUAUCAUUUUUUAUUUUUUAGAAAAAUAUAUAAGUUUUUUUUUUCUUGAUGCUAAUUUGAAUUUUUUUCUUAUUUAUUAUUUAACUUUUGGUAUAAAUAGAUAUAAAAAAAUGUAAAAUAAAAAACACAAUACAGGCCAGUUUAACUCAACUAACUGAAACUCAACCCAAAUAUAGGAAAAUGAGAUUAAAUUAGACUUGAAUUGAGUAGCUCAAAUUAGAUAUCAGAUUUUGCUGAAAUCGGAUAUAUUGUUUCUUAAUUCGGGUUAGACUUGAUAUAACAUCCACCCGACGAAGUAGCAAAAUUAGCCCCAAUUCCAUCUUAUCCCACAAAAUUAAUCUUCUUUCUCUACAAUCUUUGAAGUCAAACUCCUCGCUAGGUUAUUGAUCACAUCAACAGCAGAUAAAAGUGAUCUAAUUCCUCCCAUCUAAGAAAUAAUUCCAGCUUUUUAUUGAUUUACAGUCCUUAAAGCUUAUAAUUUUAAGCUGCUUCAAUCCACAAAAGAAGGGGAAAAACCAUUUGCUGUGCCAAAAUAUUAUUUGAUAAUCCAAAACACCAAAAUCCAAAAUUUUCCAUCAGCAUUUCCGCAAAUUACAAACCACAUUCUUUGGAAGCCUUCAGACGGGUUGAAAGGAAGUGAGCUGCUUGGUGCCAUCCAGCUUCUCCCAAACAACCGCCUCGUACUUCUUCGAUGCGGCGCCGUUCUUGGCCAUCACCGUUAGCCGGUAGUUGGUGCCGGCGACGACCUGAGUCUGGCCCUUUAUCACGCUCUGGAACUUCAGCUUCGUCGCGGUCAACUUGUUGUGCGCCUCCACCGCGAACUUCCCGAUCUCUUGCACGUGAGGGUUCUUCACGUCCUCGAUCGGGCUCCAGCCGCCGAGAAGAGCAUCGGAGGCUACUGCGACGAGGAGGAGCGAAGCCAGGAGGAGAGAAAGACGGUAUUGCCCCCGCGCCAUCGCCGUUGGGUUUCUUUCUGAAGCAGUGUGAAGCGGAGGUAUGGUAGUCGGUUGGAUUUAUAGCCGGAGGCCCAUUAAAGAAGUGGGGCCCAUUUUGUUGGGUUCCCAAUGUGGAGAAAGAUAAGUGGUCCAGUUGUGCAGCCCCCGCUGACCACCCAAGUCCUCCCUAAAGGAAGUGGAAAAUAUCGUAGUAAUUUCUUAACAAAGCCGUUUCGUAAGAAACAUCAUCCAGGGCAAGAAAAAGAAAAAUGCUUUCCUCAGGAUACUUCCUUGUUAAGCUCUUUUUAAAGACCAAAGCUUUAUUAAAAGGACCCCAUUUUUAUUUUUUUAUUUUUUUUUAUUAAAAGAAUAAAAAAGCCAUAUCUAAACAAGAAAUUCAAGGACACCAAAUCCGGUGAAUUAUUACAAAUAUAUAGGAGGUUAGAAAUUAAGAUUUGAGUCCGAAAGAUUAGACCAGAACAGGCUCAAAGAAGGUAAGGUUCUUGAAGUUCUCCCAUGGUUUCUCCCACACAUAAGCUUUAUACAUCUUUGGCAGCUCACUUUCAAGUGCUUGAAUCACCAUCCUAACAUUCAGGCCUUCGGCAAUCUGCGCUUGAGCCUGAAACACCGCAUAGAAAAACAGGCUGGAGGCGGUGGAGUUGUUGUAUGCCAGCACUGCAAACAUGCCUAAAUCUUGAACGUGAGUGUUGUUGAUCACGUCCGGAAUCUCAUUCCAUCCACCCGCUGUCACUGGGGCUGCUGCAUUUGCACUUAAAAUGAUGAAGACGAAGACACAGAAGAGCCGGCACAAGAACUGACUUUGAAGUUCCAUUUUUUUUUUUUUCUUUUUGGUGUUUGGAGCUGCCCAAUCUGAGAUUUUAAAUGGGAUUCUUGAUAUAAUAUGAAUAGAUUUAUGCCUAUAGUCAUAAAUUUCAUAUCAAUCAUUUAUCAUCUCUGCAUGAAAUUAUGAAUCAUAAGUAUGACUUUUUUUUGUGCAGAGAAUUAUGACAGUAGUAAAUGUGUGAGAAACUAAAUGGGCAUUUAAAAGGAUGAAAGGCCGUGUACUGUGCUGCAGAAAACUGAAUAGGUAGAUUACAGUUGCACCCACAAAGACUUUCCUUUCUCCAUUUUACUUCUAUGCUGUGUAAAUGACACAGCCAUAAAGCUUCUGUACUAUAUUUAAAGAGGAACAGAGGAGUUUCUGGUCAAGGAGUAAUAUGCCUAAAGGAGAUGAUAUGUAAUUAACAUGUAUAUGCAACUUAAACCUGAAUUUUUCGAGGUCUGAUUGGUUACUUGAAAGUGUCCUAGAAUCUGUUCGCUUGCUAUUGAGGAAGGAGGCCAUUGCAUAUGUUUCUCUGCAUCUUGGAUACAGCAAGAGAUGACCAGCAAACUGAGCUAAAUACCGACAAAUGGAGGUCUAGUUUGAUAAUUUUAUCAUCCCAUUGUUGAAUGACAGUUGACCAUACGAAGAACCAGUACGUAGGGCUCACCUUGGUGCUGAUUUUCAACAAUUUGCUUAAGUGGAUGUAGACUCAAAAUGAAAAUUGCUUUCAAAGUUGUUAUUUUAUCAAUAAUGGCAUGAACUUUUAAUAUUGAUGAUCAGAAACAAAGUAUGAAGGCUAACAAAUCCACCAUGGGAAGAAUCAUUAGAUAAAUAAACAAUUGCCAUAGGAGAAAAGCAUAUGCCUUUUUCCCUUUCAUGAUUCUUGUCACAGACGAUUUCUUUUCCUUUCCUUAUUACUAUACAAUAAGGCUACUAAUAUGCCAAGAGCCAAUGCCUUGUCAUGGUAGCGGCCGAUCCUAUGCAUUUCACCUUGUUUGUAGAGAAUUUGCAAACUGGUUGCAGGGAUUUGAAUGGUGUCACAUUUCUUCGUUUGUCCCAAAAACAUAUGCUCCUGCAAGGGACAACAUUAGUCAUUAAACAUAUAUGAUGAAUCAAAAUUCCUCCUAAUUAAGGAAAAAAUUUGUUUACCGAGUGAAGGCAUUAGAAGGGAUAAUGCAGCAAUUCCAGCAAUCUUAAGAGGCACUCCUGUCUUGAUCAUAUCUUUGAUUUCAAUGUGUCCUGUUGUGAACCCGACGACAUUCGAAGGAGUUCCAGUGGGCAGCAAGUAAGAAAACUGUGCUCCAAUGGCUCCAGGAACCAUGAGAAGGAGCGGGUGGACGUGCAUGGUUUGGGCUACUUGGAUGAGAAGGGGAACAAGGAGUGUUGUUGUGGAAUUGUUUGAGGUGAACUCAGUAACCGUACUACUUAUGAGACAGACGGCAGGCGCAAUGACCAAGUAGGGAGCGUGUUCCAGGAAAGUCAAGGCCUUUGACAACACAUCAGCCAGGCCACUUGACCGGACUCCGGCAGCUAUGGCAAAGCCAGCGCCUAGUAGCAAUACGAUGUUCCAUGGCAGCUUCUUGCAUUUGUUCCAGUCCAUCAGCUUCUCCCCCUUUUGUUUCUUGUUUGGAAUUAUGAACAAUAAGGUUGCCAUCAUCACCUACACAUUGGAUCAAACUCAGUCAUGUAGAAGUCCUUAUUUGUUGAGAGAUUUCAAUGGAAAUAGCAUUUUCUUAAAGACGAUUCUCACACUGGCAGUCCCAUCGCCUACACGACCAUUGAAGAGAGCUCCCCAUCCAGGAACAUCAUCUGUUAUGCUCCUUGUCAUCCAUAAGACUAUUAGCAUCUGCACCAACCCUCAAGGAUUAAUCUACAGACAUUUAUGUCCCUUUGGCUAAAAAGAAAAUUUUUUUAAGUCCUACUCUUUUAAAAUAAAAAAAUAUAUAUAUUAAACUAUGUGCAAAGUAUUAUUGUUAAUUUAUUUGUUUUCAAUUGUUACCAAACAUUGAAACGGAGAUAAAUACUGAUUUCAACCUUACAUUUUUAAAUGCAUCCAAAUACAAAGAUUGAAAUCACCGCCUAAUUUAUUCCUAUUUAAGGAGAUAAGGGAAUGAAAACAAAAUAUUCAUUUUCAUUCCUCAUUUUCUAGAUCAGGCUUUAUUAGAAUCUAUUCCCAUUACUUAGAAGGUUAUGGCACUUGUCUGCUUACCGAAAACACAGCCAACACCAUCUUUUCAGCAAAAGCCAUUGGACCUGUCCACACAUGUAUAUGUAUAGGUAAAGAGGCUGAAGAUUUUCUACAAUUGGGUGUAGGAAGUGGUAAAUUGAAGUAUUGAGUAUCAAAAUUUUGGGAGUUUACCCAACAUUUGAAGCUCUCUUCUGAGACUGGAUUUGUCCAAAUAAGCAGACAGAGCAGGACCUGCACCCCUGGAGCAGUACAAGCAGCAGAGAAUAGCCCACAAGGCAAAGAAAACCAGCAAAGCCAAAGGGAAGCCAAAGAAGAACCAUGUAUUAAAGCUGAUGGGGUCUGCCUCUGGGAAGUAGCUCUUCCACAUUCCUACCAAUAUGAGAUUGACGCCAGUACCGGUGAGAGUGCUCAUUCCCCCAACUGCAGCAGAGUAUAACACCCCAAGCACCACUGCUCUGCAGAAUUUAUCCACAUGGGGAGAUCGAGUUGGACCUGAUGGUAGCCUCUGUAAGAUACCAGUGGCUACGGGCAUCAUCAUCAGUGCUGCUGCAACAUUGUGCAUCCACAUACUCACAAAGGCUGUGGUGGCACAGAUGCCAAGGAGAAGCAAUGGGGGAUUCAGUGGAUCUCCACAAAAGAUCAAGGUAAUCUGCAUGGCCCACAUGUCCAUUUUUUUUUAAAUAAUUCACCCACAACUUUAGACUACUUUCAUAAUAGUCAAUUAUGAAGGUGGAGGUAUGUACUAUAUUCCCAUCAAAAGGUAAGCAACAAGCAUGCUUCAUAAUAACCAAAAAAACUCAAAUUUGUUAAGAAAUUAUAUAAUCAACUCCAACCCAUAAAACCCAUCUGAAAGAAGAGAUAAGAAAUCUAAAAUUUAUAUGGGAUUUUUAUGGAUCUAACAUUUAUGACAGAGACUAUGAGAAGAUGAUGCGGAAAAGAGAAGAAAUGUAAUGGGCUUAUCUCAAAAAUUGUGUGGAAACUCACAUUGAGGGCCAAUCUUCUAUGGAUGUUGUAAUGCUCAACAGCAAGAGCAAGUAUGAAGCUUCCAAGAACAAGGGAAAUCACAUCAUCCAUGUAGGAGUGAGCAACAUCAUCUGCGGAAGCGAUUCCAAAGAGGGGAAAGAGGAAGAGAGGAGACAUGGAGGUGAUGGGCAUAGGCACAGCUUCAGUGAUCCACCAAGCAAACAUCCAAGCAAGAACAGCCAACAUGUUCCUGCUGGUCACAGGGCCAUCAAGCUUCACAAAAAGGCAGAUGAGGGUGCAGAGCAGAGGCCCCAAGAGGAUGAAGAAGCUCUUGGGUGUGAAAAUGGACAUGAGAGACGCCCCAUUUGAGGUCUCCAUUGUGGUCGCCUGGACUGGAAGCAGUGGAGCUUUGAGGUCAUCAGAAACCCCAUUCGUGUUAUGCUCACUAUUCAUUUUGCAUAGAAGGAUGGUGAACAAGAAGAAGAAGAUGGUAUUUGUAUGUAAUGUUUACCGGGGGAUAACGUUGAUAUAUAUGGGCUCUGGUUUUUGAAGAUGGAGAUGAAUUAAAUGGACGAAAUAAUCUUUUCUUUUCCUUUCCUUUUUUUUGCCCUUUUCUUUUUCUUUUCUAUGUCUUGUUUGGAGCCAAACUAAUCAAUGCUCUUUAUUUUCGUCAUCCCUUCUCCAUUAUUCAACUCCUCCAAUUAUCCAUCUAACUUGUGGUCCUUGUUUGGCUGUCAUUUUUGUUGCUUGGGAUUGAAUUUUUCUUAUUCUUGUUUUUUCUGCUCCCAAAAAUGAAAAACCUAAAAUAGAAUUUGAUAUAAUUAAUUUUAGUAAAACUCUAUCCUUUUAGUAUAUAAUUAAAUUUAAAUUUAUGAAUAAAAUUAAAUAAAUAAAUAAUAUUUACAUUUCAAUAAAGGAGAUGAUGGAAAAAUUUUAAAUAUAUAUAUAUAUAUAUAAAAAAUAAUACGGUUGUUAAGUAUACAAAUAUUCAAAAUUAGUUAUGGGGCAAAAUUGGAUAUAGACAGCAACCCAAAAAUUAGUCGUGUUCUAGCAAUGAGUGGUUGAUGGGGGUCCAGCUGGACAAGUUCCAUCAAUCAAUUAAAGUUAAUUUACUGCUGGAUGGCUCCGAUUGCUCCAAGCCCUAUGACGUGGAAGGGCUGGCGGCUAAUAGUGACGUGUCAUACAUUAGUCUGACUCAAACGGCCCAGAGAUAUCGAUCCAACAAAUCAGCGCCAGACCCUUAGUUUUUUUUUUUUAAUCUUUUUUAAACUUAAAUAUGAUUUGAGAGUGACCAAAUUUAGUAUUAAUGAUGAGUCAUUCGUCAAGAUUAGGCUAAUCCAUUAGCAAAAUCGUUUACCAAAGAGUCAACGUCUCUAUAAUUAAGAAAGUUUAUUAAAAUUUUCUAAAUGAGAAAUUAAGAAUUACUAUAUUUAAGAGCCUCACAUGAGGUUGGGCUUUUAAAUGAAAAUUAAGAUCAUCAUAUUUAUUGACAUUAAUUUUAUAAAGUGUUUUUAAUAUUUUGAAUAUUUUAAAAAUAAAAAUUUUUAAUUGUUAAAAAUAUUAUAAAUAUUUUUUAAAAUUACUGUCAAACAUUCUAAAAGUGUUUUUUAUAAUAACUUUUUAUAAUAUUUUUAAUAUUUAUAAUAUGAUAAAAAAAAACUUAGAUGUUAAAAAUAUUAAAAAUGCUUCCUAAAAUCAUUAUCAUACAGGACUCUUAAUGUUAUCGCAGCACCUUAGCAGGCAUGGUGCAGGCUUAGCCUUCAUGGCAUGACCUUGAUUACUCAUUAUAUAACAAACUAAAAGAAAAAUUAUUUGAAAAUGGUGUCAUAAAAGAAUUGAAAAUUUUACGAUUGUUUUGAAAUUAUUGAAAGUUGUUUUUUUAAUAUGAAACUUUCAUAAUUUUUCAUAUCAAGCAUUCAUUAAAAUAAAAUAAAAAUGAAUAAAUUCAUAUUAAAAAUGUCUUUUGAAAAAAUAUUUUUAUAUAAAGCAUGGUUAAUUUUCAUUUAAAACGCUCCACUAUUUCUAUGUCAAAAACUAUAUUUUUAAAAGACAUACGAAGUAUGUAGAAGAUGUUUUUUUAAAAGAUAACUUUAAUGUUACCCUUUUUUGUUUUAAGAAAAUAAUUUUUUUUUUAUGAAAGUUGUUAUUUUAAAAAGCAAUCUCAGUGUAAAUUAAUUUUUUAUGAAAAUUGUUAUUCAUGAAAAGAGAAUGUAGAAAGUUGUCUUUUUACAUUAAGAUUAGGCAACGUGUCAAUUUUUAAGCAAGGAGGAGGGCUUUACUCCCCACUCCCCACAUAUUUCUCAUUUCAUAAUCGCAAUUGUGACACUGCCCAAAUGGGCUUGCUAAAAUAAUGAAGAUGUAUCCAAAUUGGCUUGCUAAAAUGAUGAAGAUGUAUCCAAAUUGGCUAUCUACUCUUUCAAGGACAAGACUAAGAAUGAAUAAAUAAAUAACCUUGGAGCCUACUCGACCUAGGUUUCCAUUAUCUUAUAAUUAAUUUUUUUUAAUAAAACUAACAUAUAAAAUUGUAAAAAUAUCUUUUAACUUAAGGAUAAUAGUUUUCAAAAACAGUUGUGAAGAACAAUCUUUGAGAGCAGUUUUUUAAAAUUAUUCUAUAAUAUUUUGUAAAAUAAAAGUCUAGUUAUAAACUUAAAAUAUUUUUAAAAUUAAAUAUAUUUAAAAAAUAAUUUUUAUUUUUAAUUAUUUUAUAUAUUUGUAUAAUUAUUUUUAAAAAAAAUUCUUAAAACACAAAUGAAAAUAGCAAAAAACAAAUAAAAUAUGUUUUUUAAAAUACCAUAUUUUUAUUUUUAAAAAUUAAAGAAAAAAUAGUUAUAAACAUGUUUUUCUUUUUUUCUAAAAACCAUAAAACUGCAGUCAAAAAAGUUUCCAAACAAGCCCAUAUCCUCCUUCCCCCACCAGAAUCCUUUCAGCAAGGUGAAGAAUAAAUUGAGGUGGGUGCAGAGGGAGAAAUAGUGGGUGUAUUAAGAACACCCAAACUAAAAUUUUCACCCCAUUUUGCCCUGUACAAGGUUCAAAAUUACAAGAUCCAUGUACCUAGGCUCACAACACGAGGAGGACAAAGUGGUCUUUAUGCAGCAGCAGUCUUGAUUCAUGAAUGACAAUCCUCCAAAUGUAAUCAAGUUUGCAACCAUCGUUGUCCUUCACAAUGCAGCCUUACCAUUAAGAUGGAAAAAGAGACGUGCAUCCAACUAUCCAAGGAAUAGAUGGCAUGCCAAUAAUACACUUGUGGUCUACACCCUUCACAUUCCUCUAGAGGACAUGUGCAUAAUUGUAAAUUACUUCCUAAAAUUCUUUUAAUAUUUGUCUGUACCAUGUUUGAUCACAUCACAUGUGAUGUUUUAUGGUUACUAGUAACCCAUCAAAACCAAAAUAAUGGUUUUAAUGCUUUGUAAACUACAAUAAUCGUCUUUAUUCUUCCACCCAUAUUUCAAUUUAAUUUUUAAUUUUUUAAAUAAUAUUAAUCCUAAAUUAUAUACAAAUACCAAAUAAAUCUUUUUGUUAAGAUUUUUUGUUCAAAUGAAUUAGACUAUUUAAGGUUAUAAGUUAGGCAGGUUGAUCGGAUUGAUAACUAAUCCAAACCAAAAUCAAAUUAAAUAACAAUCGAUUUUAGUUCAACUCAACCUAAAUUCUAAUUCAAAUUACUCAAUUCAGCCUUAUUUUUUAAAACUCAAAAUGAACUCGAGUUGUUCAAAUUAAAUUCAAGUUGGUUAGGUUAUAUAAAAUUAAUUCAAAAUUUUAAAACUACAUUUCUUUUGUCUUUGACUUUGCUUUUUAAUGGAAUUCACUUUAUUAAGUUAUACUCGAGCAUCAGCUAUGACGUUUCGUGUUUUUCCAUGUAGUCCGAGAUUAUUGUUAUUGACUUUUUGUGGAGAAACGUAUCGGACACCAUUUAGAAAUUUUUUACGGAAAAAUUUAAAAAAUUAGGGUAUGUUUAGGGGCGGUUUUCGAAAAUAGUUUUUUAUUUAAAAAAUAAAAAACACGUUUUAGUUGUUUUUAUUUUUUAUUUUAUAAUUAUUUUUAAAAAUAAUUAUAUAAAUAUGUAUAAUGAUUAAAAAUAAAAUUUUAAAGGUAAAAAUUAUUUUUAAAUAUAUUUAAAAAUAUUAAACACAAAUUAAAAAUAUUUGAGGUUUUUAAAUAUAUUUUUGUUUAAUAAAAUAUUAAAAAUUAAUUUUUUAAAAUUAUUCUUAAAAACUAUUUUUUAGAACAGUUUUAAAAACUAAUUUUAAAAAUGAGCCUUAAUAUACUUGAAAAAUUAAUGGGUUUUUUGUUGUUGACUGUUGACACCAGGAAUUCACCAAAUAGGCUAGUAGGGUUUCCAAUGGGCUGGAGUUGGGUCUAAAGAUUUUGGGCCGGGCUUAAACUUAUGGCUGGGCCGAAAAAGUCCACGAGUGAGAAGCUGAAUAUCAUUAAGUGAUUUUUAUUUUUUUUUACUCAUGUCCCAUUACUCUUAUGUUGUUCAUUUUUAUUCAUAUUAAAAAUAUUUACAAAUUAAUUGUCAUAUUUAUUUUCAUUUUAAUUUGAAAACUAAUAAUCAUUUAAUAUUUUUCCAAAUGUCUCAAAAUAUCAUAAUCUAUUACCAUAAUAAAAAAUUUUGUAAUGACUAAUUAUGUAAAUAUUAUGAAAUUAAUUAGGAUUUUUAUUUUUGCUUUGAUGCUUUGAAAGUAUUAUAAUUUUUCUAAAUAGGUCAAAUUUAUUAGUAGUUUGGGCCGGGCCACUCUUGUGAUUGGGUUGUCCUAACCUGUUACCCAACCCAAACCCAAAUGGGCCAAGCCCAUAUGGCAGGCCUACGCCUACCAUCUCUCAUAUUAGAUUUAUCAUGGUAUCGUUUUCGUCUCCUUCACAUUUCCACCAACUUUUGUCAUCGGAGAGAGUGUGCUAGAAGGUAUUGUUCUAGUCUUCCCUAAGUGCAGACAAUUGAAGUCGUAUUAAAGACACAAAAACCCUUGAUGGUGAUGGUAUUUUUUACUAUCAAAUGAUUCGAAUUAAGGGGGCUUUCGGUAAAAUCUAUUAUUUAUUAUUUAAUAAAUUAAAACAUAUAUUUGAUGUAUACUUUAAUUUAAACUUAUAAUUAAUUUUAAAUGAUAAAAUUGACAUAUUCAUCCUUGUUAAUUUUAAUUAAUAUUAAAUAAUAAUUUUAUUUGUUAAAUAUUCAUGUUUAAAGCAUUAUAGAUGUAUAGAAUAAGAAUAAAAUGUUAACUAGAAAAAAAUGUAUUAUUGAUAUGAAAUUUGGAUAGUGAAAUAUCUCUCAAUAGAUGUGGAUAAAUAAAAUAAAAAAUAGUUAAAAUAAAAAAAUAAUUUUUUUUUUACUUUAAUACUUUUUAAGUUAUUUUUAAAUUUUAAGUUUUUAAUAUUAAAUUAUUUUAUCAAAUAUGUUUAAUUUACUUAUUAACAUAAAUUAAACUACUAAGUCAUUAAGUUGAUCUACUAAAUAUACUCGAAACUCAUAUAUUUUUACAAUUAAGGUAGAUUUUGGGUCAUGUGUAAAUAGAGGUGUCUAAACGGCCCAUUAUUAACCAGGACAUUACGGGCCAACGUGUCAAGCUAGCACUGACCACUUAAAAAUUGUGUCGGGCUAGGUUGGCCCAUGCAAGGAAAGAGGUGGCCCGACACGACCCAUAGGUUUGCGGGCUAAUUGCAUCGGGCUGGGCUGGGUCGGUGACGUGUUCUAAUCAAGAUUUCGUAUAUUCGUCUCAACAUUCAACAGCUGCUUCAAUGUACAAACGACAUUUUCUUUGUUCACUUUCGAUCGAAAAACCAGAGGCUUCUCAGGCUCAUCUGUCUUCUUUACUUCUUUGUCCUCACGAGUCUGAUCAUAUCUCUCUAGACUCGCGACAACACUAUGCAAUUCCUUCAAAAUCAGCAUGCUUCUCCCGCUCCCACCAGACACAUUCUUAGUGCUCUACUUAGUCUUUUCGUCGGAGGCUUUUGUUGGAGAAUCAAGAGGUUUCUCCGACGUUUUGGUAACAUUAGGAUAUGAAUAAUUCUCUAUUUCCUCCAUUUGAGGAAGAUUAUCGAGGUCUACAUGUUCGAGGUCUAGCUCUUUGAGUAAGCACUUCACCAUCGGAAGAAGAUUCAACUUCUUGGCAUCCAAAGUCAAAGUUGAAUCAGAUGAGGUCAGUUUUUUCUCAGGUAUGACAUGCUCUUUUUCCAGUUUUUCCUCCGACGAGACAUGUCUUUCUUUGACAGGCCGACACGACGGGCCGCGUGGGCUGUUUCUUUAGGCCCUGCACGACCCGCUCCUUUUGGGCCGUCUUGGCCCAGCCUGCUACAGUGUCGUGCCAUGCCAUGGGCCAAAAUGGAUGGUUCGGCCCAAUGAACACCUCUAGGUGUAAAGCCUUUAUAAGAAGUAAUAUUUUUUUAAUUUUCAUAUUAUUUUUUUUAAGUUAUAAUAAGAAAUUAUUUUUUUUAUAACAAUAAUGAAGUCUUUAGAAAGAAUAUAUAAUAAAGGAAAAUUAUAAAUAUAAAAUUCCAUGUAAGAAAUUAAUUAUUUUAUUAUUAAAAAUACAAAACAACACAAAAACACCUUUUUACAAAAACACUUUUACCAAACAACAUGUUCAACCCCCACCAAGAAAGGAAAAAUAAAAGAGAGCUCAAAAGAAAAACUUGGGUCGCAGAGAAUAAACGCUAGGAAGUGCGUUUCAUAAAAGCAUAUUUCUGUCUCUUUUUCCCUUUUGUGAAAUCGAAAACAGCGGAAAAGAAAGAAAAAAAUUGGUAAUGGGGUGUGAGGGGGUACAGACAAACGUGCCGCCUUUUUUUGACUUAUGGAGAGCAGGUAACAGGCUUUUCUUUUUUCUUUUUUUCUUUUUUAUUUUUAAUUGAUUUUUCUUUUAUGUACUUUCCAGGAAAAUCAUUCGGGACACCAAAGCUUUCUUUGUGGAAUUUAAAAGAAAUGGAUAUGGGAUUCUUUUGCCUUUUCACCUACACUAGGAAGAAGCCUCCAAAAUUCAUUUAUUUUUCUUGCUCCAACAUACCAUAAUUGCCUUUUGCUUCAUGGACAAGUUUGUAGGUUGACCAUUGUACACUAUGUAUAUAUUAUGCCUCCAAUAAUUAGAACUGGCCAAGAAGAAAAUUAAAAAAUGAUGUAGGAUUUAUUAUCUUGAUCAAGGUUUCACAUGGUGGAUUUGUUUUAAUUAUUUGAUUCGUUGCUCUUAAAUUUUAAAAUUUUUGCGACUUUGACCUUGGUGAUGGAAAUUCACAUUUGUUUAAAUAUCUAUUGGCAACUUGCUUUGAAAAUUCCAAGUAUUGAAAGUGAUUUUAAAGUUAAUAUUGAUAUUGUAAUAAAAUUAAAAGUGCUUUUAAGAAUUAUUAUAAGAAAUGUUUUUAAUAUUUUUAAUACUUGAAUGAGGAAAAUUUUUAAGUGUUAUAAAUAUUAAAAACACUUCUUAAAAUCAUUAUCAAACACACUUUAAUUAAGAUUUUAAUGAGAAAUAAUGGUCUAAUUUAAAAUAAUAUCACGAAUGUUUAAUAUUUUUUAGAAGUGGAUCGAUUGACCAAUCAUAUUACUUAUGUUGUUCGCGCUAUCAAUGAUGAAUGAAUAUAUUUAAAUUUAUUCGUAAAGAUGUAAAAGGGUUUUAAUAAAUAAAGUUUGUAGCUUUUAAAAUCUGUUUGAUAGUAUUUUGAAAAAAUGUUUUUAACUUAAAAAAAAUGUUUUUAAAAAAACUGGUAUUUAUUAAUAAUAUUUAGGAAAUACUUAAAAAAAUGAAAAAAUCACCUAUAAUGACAAACACUCAUGAUUAUCUUAAAAACAUUUUUUUUAAAAACCACUUACUAAAAACAUUUCAAAUAGAAAUAUCGCCAAACCUGUUUUCAUUCUAUUUAUUUCAUGGACUAUAAUUUUUAUUCAAAACCGAAAAUAUUAAGUAAGUCUAAAAAGGAAAAUCAAAUAUUAAGAAAAAUCAACUAAUCUCUUUGUUAUUAAAUUUGUUAACUGUUUUUGAAAUUUUAAGAUUAUGGUGUUUGAGUUAUUACAUGUUGUAGCAAAUUAUAUUAUCAAACUUUCAAUUAAAGGUAUUUUCACUCAAUCAAUUGAGCAAUUUUGGUAUCAAUCUUGGAUUAAGAUCAAAUUUAACCACAAUCGUGGAUCGAUAUAACUUCAACAAGCAAGUAUAUACACAUGUGAGCAUCACUACGCCUACACUAUGUCAUUGUUGUGGGUGGCCUAAGAAGGUGUGCUUCACCACGCCGACACUAGGUCAUUGUUGCGGGUGGCCUAAAAGGGUGUUCUCACUAUUAGUUGAAUUUGGAAUUGAUUUUUGUCUCGAAGUUUAGUUCAAAUAUCACUAGCAAAUAACUUUACGUGCAAGUCGAAAAUCAUUAUUAAUGUAUUGUUUUUAUAUUAUCCUAGACUUUAUAAUUAUUCCUAAAUAAUUAAAAGUAAUAGAGGAAUAUUCUUAUGAAAACUUACAAAUUCAUAUUUGCAGACUUUGAUGAAAGUUGAUUUUAAAUCAUCAUCUAAAAAUGAUAAUAUAAAAAUUUAUGAAAAAAUUUAUAGGCUUUGCCUAAACUUAAUUCCAAAUUACUACGAUUACAAUGAAUCAUAAAAAAUGAUAUUAUGGACAUCGUCAAAACUCUAAUUUAUGAAAGAAUCUCUAUUAUAAAAAAAUCACAUAUUAAUAUCUAUUCAUAUAUAAAAUAAUAUCAAAUUUUGUGAAUCUAGCUUCUCUGCAUGAUAAAUACCGCCAAAGUCUAAUGCUGCGGAGAAAAUUAAGUGAAAUACUCCAAAUACAAAGUAUGAAAAGGUGUCUAUAACUUCCCCAUCAGGACCUAUAACUUCCCUACCAAGACCUACCCCCAAUCUAGAGUAACUAGGUAGGGAAGUAAAAUUAAUCAUUUUUCAUACAUGGGCUUCUUUGGUACGAAAUGAGUCACUUCAAAUAAGUUUAUUGUUCUGACCCAAAAUACGAUUAACCCGACAUGGGCUACAUGAGCCCCAAAUAGUUUACCGAAUAAAUUGAUAAGUUGGGCAUUUUUGACCCAUCAAGUGUUUUUCCUUAAGAGCAACCAGUUUAUAACAUAGAUAUCUUUUAUAAUUUCAAGUAUUCACACGUAAGUUUUAAAAUAACUUAUUAUUUUUAUGAGAAAAAAAAUGAAAGCAUUUUUGUUAAAAUAGGGUUAAAAAAAUUGAUGAAGGGUUAUAUAUAUCUAAAAUUAGAUUUUCAAUAAUUAUUUUAAUCAAAUAAUCCUAAAUUAAUUCCUGACCACACAUGCAUAAAUUUAUUUUUAUCAAAAAUUCUUAUAUCAAUAUGUAUACUUUCUCUCUUUCCUUACUUGGUGUUUUCAUUUUAACCAAAUCUCCCCAGAUUUUAUUCCUUUUAUGCUUCCAUGGACCAUCAACAACCACUUGGACCCUCAAAAUAAUGUUCCAAUCAAAAUAAAAAUAUCGUACCAUGAUUAAAAGUCACAUAUUUAGAUUUCUAACACCGUGCUUAAUUUAGACGUAUGAAACUUAAGAAAAAUAAAAUUUAAAAAUUGUACCAUUGAGAAUAAAUGAAAAAAAUAAAUAAAUCAAGUAAGAUAAAAAAAUAAUUUAAUAAUUAAGGGUCUAAUCGGCAAUUGUUUUCAAAACAAUAUUCUUAAAAAUAGUUUUUGAUAAUAAUUUUUAAAAAUCAUUAUUUAAUUUUUAUAGAAUAAAAGUUGUUUGGAAAUCUAAAAUAUUUUUAAUAUUUUAAAAAAUAUUUUUUAUAUGUUUUAUUUUUUAAUCAUUUUAUAUGUUUGUAUAAUUAUUUAUUAAAAAUCAGAAAAUAAGUGAAAAUAAUAAAAAAUAAUUAAAAGAUAUUAUAUGAAAACAUUAUAUUUUAUAUUCUUAAUAAUAAAAAAUAAAAAAUAAUUUUUGAUUGCCAAAUAUAAUUUUUAUUUUUAAAAAUAAAAAAUUAUUUUAAAAAAUAAUCCCAAAUGGGUCAUAAGAUGCUACGUACAUACUUUUUUUAGUUUUUAGUUUUUAAAACAAAAAAAAAGUAAUAAUUAAGGUAUUUGAUAAAAAAAAUUCAAGGUAUUUCAAAAAUUUUGAUAACAAAAUUUAAGAAUAUAAGGGAAGUUCAUUUAUAGAGAAUUAUUAUAAUUUUAUAUAGAAAUUAUUAAUUUUCUAUUUUUUAAAAAUGUUAUUUAACUAAAUUUAAAUUCAUGAAUAUGGAUGAUAGUUAAAAGAAAAAUAAAAAGGGAAAGAUGAAAAAAAGGAAAGUAAAUCAAUACCUUUCAUAUUUGUACCAUUGCCAUCCAAUUUGAAUGUCCAUAAAUUUCCACCAAGAUUCUUAAAAAAAUUGUACCAUCUCAUAUAAGGAACAAAUGAAAUAAAUAAUAUUAAAUGAUAUUAAAUCAAGUAAAAAAAAAAAGAAGUAAAAUAAUAAUUUUCAUAGUGAAAUUUGAACAUUACCAUGUUUCUUUUUUCAUAAUUUUAAAUUAUAUAAAUAAAAAUUUAAUGAAAUUAGCCAAAACCAAACAAGUUCACUUUUUUAAUUUCAAUUACAUUUUGUAUUUUUAUUUAUUUUUUGGUGGGGGCAGAAUCGAUUUAGAAUAAAGAAAAGCCGCAUUUGGGGAAUUGGGAGUUAUAUCGGCAGCUUUAUGAAGGGCAAAAGAGUAAUUUUGGGAGCGAAGCGUAACAAUGCAGGUGGAAUAGCGCGGUGUGUGAAUGCAGCCCACAUCGUCUCAACUCCACCUCUCUUUCUCUCUCUUCUUUUCUUUGUUUCUCUCUGAUGAAAUCUAAAAAUCUUCGAUUUUGUGCUCUCUCGUCCUCGACUCUGCCAAAGCUAGGGUUUUGGGGUUUCGAUUCUAUGAUAUCGGCAGCGAAAUUGCCAUCGCUGCAGCCGCUAUCGCCGCCGCCGUUUCGUUAAUCUGCCGGCGGGGGCUUUGAUUCCCGCCCGCCCCUCAUGUCUCUCGUAGAAACCUCCUCCAUCGACUGCGUCCACCAACGCCUCGAUCGUCUUUCCUCGAAGCGAAAAUUGGACGAUUAUUCCUCCCCCGCCGAUGACGAUUUCUCUGAUUUAGUCUCCUUCAGAAUGAGAAAAUUCGAUCAAAACGCCUUCGUUUCUUGCAACUCUCCGCCGGACUCUCAUCUCGAGAGGCAUAGGGUUGUCGAUGCCCGAUCGUGUCCCAGUUCGUGCAGCGCCGAGUCGGCUCGGCCUGAUUCGCGGUUGCAGUUCUUCGUGAGGAUGAUCUCCGAGGGGAAUACUCUGGUGAUUCACGCGAAUUCGGAUGAUACCGUGGAGUCGCUGCACCACCGGAUUCAGUCGAUUACGGGGAUUCCGGUGAUGGAGCAGCGGCUGAUAUACAGAGGGAAGCAGCUGCAGUGGGAGCAGUCUUUGGCUGAAUGUUCGAUUCAAAACGACGCCGGGCUUCAACUUGUCGGUCGGAUGCGGAGUACGGAACAUCCGGCGGCAUGGCGAGUCGCUAGCGAGAUGGUGUCAACGAUUUGUCGGCUUUGUAGGGGGGAAACAUUCCGGCCGUUGAAGAACAUCAAAUCGCAGUUGUUGGAGUUCUUGAUGCUCACUCCAAAAGACGACACCGAGUCAGCGGCCGGUUAUCUUCAGGUUUUCAUGUCUUCGUCGGCCCCUUCAGCUUUGGUCAUGCUCUACAUGUCCCCGACUAAGAGUAACAAGGAGACUGCAGAUGAUACUAUUAGGCAAUUUCUUAACUCGAGUCGGAAUUUAUUACCAAAGUCUGUACAAAUACAAUGUGUUCCUAUAGUGUUAGAAUUUUGUAAGUUGCUUAGUAGAACUGAUCAUGAGGAUCCGUUGUAUUUGACAUGCCGAAGCACUCUUGGGUCGCUGGUGGAAAAUGUUGGGGUAGUGAGAGCUUCGAGGUAUUGUCAUAAUAGUAAGACAUUGAUUGUAGUUAAAGAGAUUUUACCAUUUGUUAGUGAGCUGGCUAGUAGCUUGUCAAAGUCAUUGAUAUCAAGCAUGGAAUCAGCAGGGAGCACAGGGAACUCACUAAAUGAUGGGCGCAAUUUGAUUGCAGGGCAUACAUUAGCAAAUGAUGUGCGUGAUUUUACUGCAUUCUUGCACCCGGUGCGAUCUGUGAUUAUGGAGCAAGUGAGUUUUCAUGGUCCUAUUUCAAUUCCACUUGGAGAACGUGGUAGUACUAAUCCCUGGUAUGGAGAAGAGAUUGAGUUUCUUCAUGGCAUUUUCAUCGAUUUGAUGACAAAAAUGGAUGGGUGUCUCCAUAAAAUGGAGCAAUGCUUGGCAGGGGAAGGUGGAGUUGAUCAUCAUACUGUAUGGCCCCAGUAUCUUGCCGUUCUGAAGGAAUUGAAUAGCAUUUCUAAAUUAUAUCAUGGUGCUGAGGAAGAGUUUUGGACAUUUAUGAGACGUAGGAAGAUUGCAGUGUGCUCUCUAAUGAUUAGAUAUGCAAAGAGAAGUGAUGACCAUAGUUGGCUUCUUGAGCACAAGGAUGUGACUGAUUUUGAAUCAAGGAGGCAUUUGGCAAUGAUGAUGUUCCCUGAAGUAAAGGAAGACUAUGAAGAACUACAUGAAAUGCUCAUUGACAGGUCACAAUUAUUGGCAGAGUCAUUCGAGUACAUUGCACGGGCAGAGCGUGAAUCUCUACAUGGUGGUCUGUUCAUGGAAUUCAAAAAUGAGGAAGCUACAGGACCUGGUGUGUUGAGAGAGUGGUUCUUCUUGGUAUGCCAAGAAAUUUUCAAUCCACAAAAUGCCCUUUUUGUAGCAUGCCCAAAUGAUCGCAGAAGGUUCUUUCCUAAUCCUGGUAAGCUUCCUCCAUCUCUCUAGACACGUUUUUCUUGAAACAUUUCUUUUGAUUGCUGUUUUCUCCAUGUAAAAUGUCUAAAAUUGGAAGUGUCUGUUAUCUUGAUUGAUAAAUGGAUUGUUGACUUUGUUAUAUUGUGAUGGAUGGUGCUAGUGUGUAACAUGGCUAUAGAUUCUGAGGUUUGUAUAUGCUUGUUCCAUUUAACCUACAACAAGGUUCUUCUUGACAAUUGGUGUUGGAGAUUAGUGACUUUGAGUGAAUCUCUUUGGAAACAAGUUAUCACUCUUAAAUUCAAGCAAGAAGGGAUCAAGGGGUGUGAGAUGGUUUUGGGAUGAGUGUGUGGAAGAUAUUCAGAAAUGAGUGGGACUCCCUUAAGGAUAGAGUUCAUUUCUCUAUUGGCAAUGGAAGAAGGAUCAAAUUUUGGAAAGAUAGAUGAAGUGGUAACUCAUCUUUGGAAUAAUCUUUCCUGUCUUUGUUCUCUUUAGCCUCAAACAUAGAUGCUUGGGUGGUGGAUAUGUGGGAGUAGCAUGGGGAAAGUGAUUGAUUAAGCCCUUGCUUUCCUAAGCAGUUUCAUGAUUGGAGCUUGAAGGAGUGACUUACUUUUUCCUAAAACUGCAAGUAGGAGAGAGGAGGAUGGCAGUUUAGAGUGGAAGGAUUCCAAGGGUGUCGAUUUCUCUAUCAAAGCUUUUAACUUUCACUAGUCCAACAAAGUAGUGAGUCUUUCCCCAUUAAUUGGGUAUGGAAUCUCCGGGUCCUUGUGAAGGUAGGGUUCUUUAUAUUUUUUUUUUUGCUUCGAAGCAUUGUGGGUUAGAAUUUUGACAAUUGAUCAACUUAAAAGAAGGGGAUGAAGUAUGCCGAACAGAUGUUACAUGUGUAAAAAGUAGGAGGAAACAACUAAUCAUGUGCUCUUCCACUGCCCUACAAUAAUUAUCUGUGACAACUGAUUUUCUCUUUGUUUGGUGUAGUUUGGGUGAUGCAUUCAAUAGUUAGAUGAACUUUGUUAAACUAGCAUGGUUCGUUUGUGGGUAAUAAACUGAAAAAGCUUGGAUACCUAUUCUAGACGCCAUGGAAGGAAAGAAACAAAAGGGUAUUUGAAGAUUUAGAGCAAACAUAAUAAAUGCUUAAACUUUCUUUUAUAAAUAUUUUUUGGAUAGAUUUUAUAUAGAUGAAUUUUCCGUGACCAUGAUAGACUUUGUAGAUUGGAUUAGUUAGAAAGGGUGAGGGAGUUUGUUUUUUGUUCCUUUCCUCUUCCUUCCAUUUGCCUGUUUUUGAGUGACAUUUAUAUGCUUUGUGUGUACUUUGCGAUGCAUGUGUUUAGGCACUUUUCUUACUCUUAUAUAUAUAUAUAUAUAUUUGAUAGAUAAAAAGGAAGAUAUAUUGGAAAGGACUGCCAAAAAAGCAGCCCAAGGUAUACAAAAAGUUUAUAGCUACCACUAGCCUCCACCACAAAAACACCAAGAUACAAAAUAAAAGGAAUACAACCAGCCCGCCCUCACCAAUGGCCCAACCAAUUUAGAAAGCUAAAAAGAGUUAAAGGAACAUCAUCUAAGUAUCCCUUCGCUUCCAACCAAAGAUAAAAAGCAAACGAACUUUUUAGCCUUUGGAUAGAGAGCUCUUCCUCCUCAAAGGCAAUUCUAUUUCUUGUCUUCCACACUAUCCAAAACAAACAUAAAGGUCCGACUUUCCACAAUUUCUUAUGCUUCUAGUCCUCAAAUAGCCCAUGUCACCCUAGAAGAGUUUCUCUAACUAACGUAGGUAACACCCAAGACACCCUAAAAUGGGCAGACAACAGCUCCCACAAGACUCUUGUCUUUAUACAAUGGACAAGGAGAUGGUCUAUGGAUUCUUCGUUAGCAUGAUAGAAAAAACAUCUAUUUGCCAAAGACCACCCCCCUUUUCUGGACUUGAUCCAAAGUUAAGGCUUUUCCCCAAGUCACCUCCCAAGCGAAGAAGCUAACUCUAGGAUGCACCCACGCCUUCCAUAUAUUGCUCCAAGGAAAAGAAAUCGAAGUCCCAGGUUCAAAGGCCAUAUAAAGCGACUUCAUAGUAAACUUCUCAUUCUUAGUCUUUGUUCAACACAUCCUAUCUUCCUCGUCUCUAUUCACCGUCAUCCCAUCUAAGCAAGAAAGAAACCUCUCCUCACUUUCCACUUCCCAAUCAUUGAGGGGUCUAGAGAAAGACGGGCUCCAACCCCUUCCCCAGGGAUAGAAAAAUCCCAAACAUCCUCCACCCAUGCAUCCUUAGAACAUGCUAAGGAAAAUAAAGAUGGAAAAGAGUCUCGCAACGGAUCAAUCCCACACCACUUGUCCUUCCAAAAUCUGACCCUUUGUCCAUUACCUACCUCGAAGGAGAUUUUACUACUCACAAGCCCCCACUACUUCCUUAUAGCUUUCCAAACACCUACACCAAACCCUUCCCUAAACUCCCUAGAACACCACCCCCUUCUUACUCUUAGAUUAUAUAUAUAUAUUUCCAUAUUACCUAUAAAAAAAACCUGCAACAUACAAGUAGGUUAUGUUUGAUUUUUAGAAUUUUGAGGGGUAGGAUUAGGGAAGGGGAAAAACAAAAGGAAAGGAAGGAAAAUGAAAUUCAAGUUGAAUCCCCAAACAAAUCUUCCUUCCUCAACUCAGACCCCAACUUUCCUUGCUUGUUUAAAGAGGAAAUUGGGAGCUUCAAAAUGUAUAAUUUCCCCCCUAUUUCAUUUGUAGUUCCUUUUGCUUCCUAUUUUCCAUCACAACCAAACAAGAGAAAUCGAUUUUCCUUCUAAGUGUUUGCCCUUUUCUCUUGUUGCUUUUGAGCUCUUAACGGAGCCAUAAGCUUGCUACAACAAUUCUGAAGGUGUAUUGAGAUAACCUUGCAAAAUAGAAGAAUAUGGUGGAAGCUUGCAUUGAAGGUCUUGGAUCAAAGCUAGCUUCCAAAGUAGGAAGUCUUUUAGGGCAUUGAAUAUGGACAAAAAUUGAAAAUCGUCAUCCUUUGAAGAUAGUGGUAUGGAUAAAUAGGGAAGUUUUUUUUUUUUUUAAUGAGCAAAAUGUAAAUAUUUUAAAAGAGGCUAGCAAACAGGUGCAUUAAAUUACACACAAUGUAUAGAAAGGCAUCAAAAGGUCAACAAAAAGAAAAAAGAAACAAAAAACAACCUUUUCCUGCUAGAGCUCAACUAAUCAACAUAGUCUAUCACUAACAUUGAGAACUCUCCUAUACACACUCUAACCCACUCCAAAAACUUAUAUAUAAGGGACAAUUUUAUUCCUUGAUCCUUUAAUUCAGUAUUUUGAAACGACCUUUUAUUUCUUUCUUUCCAUAUAUUUUAAAAUAAGCACAAAGAAGUAGCUCUCCAAGCUCUUUUUCGCUUUUUUCAAUGAAGGAACUAUGCAAACUCAAGAAAGCUCAUCUUUUUAAAGAGUGUCUCAUAAUAUACCAAACAAAAUAUAAAUCAAUUGACAUAAGAGUAUUGCUUUCAAGCAGUGAAGGAGAAUAUGAUCAAUUGUUUCUUCUCCUUUGCAUAUAUAAUAAACUGUUCAACAAUUUCCAUUUCCUUCUUUUGAGUCAAUCUAAUGACAAAAUCCUCACCUAAGCUGUUUCCAAUUCACAAAGAAGCCAAUUCAGAUUGUUCUUGCAGGAAAGACUCCUUUUCCCAUAGACAAAGAGGAGUAGGACUUAAUUGAGAAUUUACUUUUUUUAAUUUUUUUUAUUAGUAAAUGAGAUUUGUAUUAAAAACGCCAAAAAGGGCAGACCAAAGUACACACGAUGUAUACAAUGGCAACCAAAAAGCGCCAAAAAAAGGAAGAGAAAACAAAAAGAUAUCCCCUCCCUCAAACCGACCCCAACCAAUCAAUGAAAUCUACUAUAGGCAACCAUCUUUCACCUAUAAAUAGUUUGGUCCAAGUUAACAAGUUACACAAAAACAAGUAUUUCAGUCCUUGGAUUGAGAAAAAUCUUCUAUUUCUCUCUUUCCAAAUAGUCCAAAAGAGGCAUAAAUGAGCUGCCCUCCAAACCUUUUUCCGCUUUUUUUUCCAACAAAGGAACCAUGCCAGCCUAGCAGAGUCUCUCUAAUUGUAGACUACAUCACCUAAAAAACUCUAAAGAGAGAGAAUAAUAGCUCCCACAAUACCCUUACCUUGUCACAAUGUAAAAGGAUGUGGACAAUAGACUCCUCAUGAGACAAACAUAGGAAACAACGAUUGGCCAAAAACCACCCCCUCCUUUAAAGCUGGUCAAGAGUCAAAACUUUUCCCCAAGUCGUCUCCCAAGCAAAAAAGUACACCUUAGAAGGAACCCAUGCAUUCCACACAACACUAGAAGGGAAUUGCACUACCCUUCUUGUCUCUAGGCUAGCAUAACUGAUUUACCACACUUCUGUUUUAACCAAACCAUUCUAUCCUCCUCAUUCUUUUAAAGCGCUUACACCCAUAGUCUCCCAUGCCUCCACCCUAUCAAGCUCCUACUCAUGGUUCCUCUUGAAAAGCAGCCCUACCUAGCUUACUUCCACACCUCUACCACAUAAAAAAAGAAAGGAAAAAAAGAGCCUGUUGUAGUAUGGAACCUUUUAAUCAUUGAUAGAUGGAUUUGUGAUAGAUUGAUUUGGUAUUCCAAUUUUUUCCUCUGGAAAUAGCUUAAAAGGAGAAGGUCAAGGACAUGAAGCAAGGACGAAGGCAUUUGGUUAAGGGAACUUUAAAUUUCAUGGUUUUCAUAAUCAUGCUUUUCCAAAUGAUGGUGCUGAUGGUGAUUGAAGCCACAAGAGAGGAUUGGAUUUCAGAAAAAAGAAAGAGGAACUAAAUUAGAAAAUAUUGAUAAUCACAAACAAUUAAUUUGAUUAUUAUAGAUGGUAUUAUUUUUUUAUUAUUCAAUUUUCAUGUGAUUUUAUUAGUAUUUUAUAAAUUGGUUAGGGUCUUCAGGAAGGGCUUUUGUUUUUGUUGUCUUUUCCAUUGCAUUUUGCUUUUGGCAUCCUUUAUUUACGACCUGUGUACUUUGGUAUGCUUUUUCUUGGCAUUGUUGAUAUAUUUAUUUUAUUUGUCUAUAAAAAUGAAAACAAGGGAGUAAAACAGAAAAUCAUAAAUUACCUGAUCCAAUCUCAAAGAGUAGAUCUUGUGUGUUUACGAGAAACAAAGGUCUAAUAGAUGUUAGUGCAAAUUAUGAAAAGUUUGGGUGUGGUAGAUUUUUGGAAUGUGGUGUUAUAGGUGCCAGGGGUCAGGUUGAGAGGAAUGUGGCCUUUUGGGAUUUUAGGAUUUUGGAGUUAAUUAAUAUGGAAGUCAAGGUGCAUUCAAUCUCUUGUUGUUUGAAAAACUUGAGAGUAACUUUAUUGGGAUUUUUUUUAUGGUGUGUGGGCUUUGUCAAAAUGAGGGGAGAGAAUUUUGAGUGGAUUUGGUCAAAGAAGUGGCCUUUGGAACAAUCUGUGGUGUGUUGAAGGAGAUUUUAACGUGGUCAGAUUUCUUGGGGAAAUGCAGAACUAUUUGAGACGCACAACAACAAUGAGAUGAACUUCGGAGUUUAUAAAGGAGCUUCAUUUGAGGGACUUUCCUCUAACUACUGGUCCUUUUACAUGGAGUGGUGGGUCAAAUAAUCGGUCCUCAUCAAGGUUGGAUCAUUUACUUGUUUCUGAAAGAUGGGAGAAUCAGUUAUGAUUGUUAAUUUAGAGUGUCGUCUAUGGACUUGUUUCUGACCAUGCUUCCAUUUUAUUAGAUGGAGGAGGAAUGAGAGGGGUCAAAUUGCUAUUCAGGUUUAAAAACCUGUUUUUGAAAGUGGAAGGAUUCAAAGAUCUUGUUAGAAAUUGCUGAGUGGGCUACAAUGUGAGUGGUUUGUAUAGCCAUAUCUUAGCAUUCAAACUAAAAGCUUUGAAAUGAGAUCUAAAACUAUGGAAUAGAGAUGUUUUUAGCAAUGUCNNNNNNNNNNNNNNNNNNNNNNNNNNGGGAAGAUUAAGGCUAGAAAAGAGGCAGUGGAUGAAUUUAGAAUGUGGGCAGCGCUGGAAGAGGGUUUUUGGAGGUAGAAAUCAAAAGAAUAAUGGCUAAAAAGAGAGAUGUAAAAACACAAAGUUAUUCCAUAAAAUGACCAAUGCUAUGGAAGAAGAAACUAUUUGGCUAAAGUUUGGUUGAACAUUGAAUUAUUAUUAGAGGAUGCAGACAUAAAGAAAUGAGUGACAAAUGCUUUGCAUAUUCUUCUUCCUAAGUCGGGGGAGGAGAGACCACAUAUCAAUAGGUUGUUGUUUGAAAUUUUAGGUGGAGAAGAUUCAGAUUCCUCUAGUCUCUCUAUUCUUUGAGGAGGAAGUCUAAUAUUAUGAGAGAGAGAGCGAGAGAGGGCGAAAGAGAGGGCGACGACGAGUGCGAUGGUGAGGAGGAGGAGGAGAAAUCGGCGUCGCAAAUCAGAAGGAAGGAGAGCAGGUUUACAAUGAAAUCCAAGGCGUUCGAGAUUGUAGUGGAGGAAAGAAAAGGAAAGAUCCAAGGACGCAUUGUGGAGAAGAAGGGAGGGGCCUCGUCAUGGGUACGACUGGGAUCGGAUAGCUUAGCGUUUUUCUUGGAAGGGUUGAAUCUCUGUAUCAAGGGUGAGAAAGAAACUAGAUGGGGAAGGGAAUGGAAGGAGCAGGGGAGAGUGUAUUCUAUGACUCGAGGGACAAACAGAGCGGGGGGGUUUAUACGGCAAGGGGUCUCCGAUAUAGAGGGGAAGAGGUUCUGCAUCUUCGUCCCGAGAGGUCGUAGGGAUAAGAGGGGGUGGACGACCAUGGCGAAGAAGCUUAACCAGGUGUUAGGGUUUUUUGGUAAAAACCCAGAAAACCAGAAGGGAAAGGCUGUGGAGAAGGUUGCUAUGGGAAGAUCGUAUGCAACAAUGGUGGGAAAAUCACUGUCGGGUAACUCAAAUGUCGUUGCAGUGAAGGUGAAAAAGGAGGAAUCAGAAGGAUUAAUACAGAAAUUGAAACAUUGUGUAGUGGCGAGCUGGAGAGAUGGGUCAGGGGGAGAAGAUGAUAUGGAGAAAUUGGGGCAAGUUUGGGCAAAGUCUUGGGACCUCAAAGGUAACCUAGGGCUGGCUAAGCUAAACAAGAGAAAAGCGCUGCUGGAUUUUGAGAAUUUGGAAGAGGCUAGACGAGUCGUUUCCUCUGGGAGCUGCGUGUUGGAAGGAACCCAGGUAAGGCUGGAACACUGGAGCCCUAGGAGUGGAUGUUGGGCAGAGGGGGGAAGAGAGAAAGGAAGCCUGGGUAAGGAUAGUUGGGCUCCCAAUCUCGUUAUGGAGCCCAAAGAUUUUGAGGAGAGUGGGGGAUGCAUGUGGAGGGUUUAUCACAGUCGAUGAACAUACGAAAUCGAUGGGAGAUCUUCAAUGGGCCAGAAUCUUAGUGAAAUUGAGAGGGGAAGCUAGACCGAGCGUGCUGGAAAUUGAAGGGGAGGAAGAGAGUUACGCAAUGUCCUUAUGGUGGGAAUGUUGGCCGGUGGUGAGGAGGAAGUGCAGGAACGAAGCCGAUCGCCAUAGCAGGGAGGUUAGGGGAGAGGAGGUUUCACGCGCGGGGCAGCGAGUGAGGAAGGAUUGGGUGAGUGGGAGGCUCGAGUCGCUGCAACCGUCAGACGAAGUGACGGAUGUGCAGGGGGUUGGGUCGGGUCGGGUUGAGAUCAGUCCAGAUCUAAGCCCGACAACCCGGACGUGGGUUUCAUUUGGUGAAAUAAAUCCUUUAAGCCCAAUCACGGGCCCAAAGGGAACAAGGAGGGAUGGUGGGCCUGGCUUAAUGAUCGGGUCCAUGGAUUUGAAGAAAAAAGGAGUGGCUGCAAGUGUUUUUGUCCCAGACGCAGGUCCAUCGUGCGGCAGGGAGGAUGUGGGCUGCUAUUCUAAAGGCCCAGCUCUGCCUAUAGCCUAGUUGCCAAACAAAGGCCUAUUUUGCUCAAAGGCCUGCACCCAACAGCCCGAUCAAGGCGGAAAAAUAAGGGAGGGCCCAAAAUCACCAACAGUCCAAGAGGUGACGGGUUUGCUGCUGAAGUAUUCUGCACCCAACUACCCUCCAGAAGCAGAGACUUUUGUUGCGAGGGAGACUGAGGACACAAGGAAGCUACAAGGAGUGGUUAGGCUGACAGAGAUGGAUAGGGCGCUUGAAGAGGAAUCAAUGAGGUAUGGAAUGGGGUCCGGUUCCUGGGGGAAAAGGGCAUUGGGGGAUUCUCAUCUCAAUUCUUUUCUUUUUGAUCGGACUCUGGGGGGGGAGUUUUUCGAUCGUUCUAGGGAUUUGGAUGAGGAAGGUCGGGCCGAUAAUUCAAUGUGGUUAACAGUGUAUGAGGCUUGCAAUGAAAGGAUUAAGGAAUGUAAGGAACUGGGAGUCAUCAAAUGUAGCAGUGACAAAGGUAGGGAGAUGGAAGGGGUAGGCGACAUAGAUGAUGCUCAAGUUGAGAGAAGUAAGCCGGAGGGUAAAUGGGAAGAGAGUGGUUUGGCGAGGUUCAGCCAGUUCCUGGGCUUUCCUACGGAGGGACUGGAGAAGGAAAUACUAACUUUCUUGACCAAGAUCAGGAAAAGACGGGAGAAAAUUCAUAGCAAAGAGUUACUGGAAAAGUCUAAGUUUGAAAGGGAGUUAAAAAGACUGGAAUGCUCCAUAAACUAUGAGGGAGGGGUGAAACAGAAAGGCUCGGUACAGGGCAAAGGGCGCCAAAUUGUGAUUGUCCAAUGAAGGUGAAAAUUUUGAGCUGGAACGUGAGGGGAGCAAAUGAUAGCUCCAAAAGAAAAGUGAUUGAGACGUUCAUAAGAAAUCAGAGGGUGGACUUAAUGUGCAUUCAGGAGACAAAAUUGCAGUGUAUGACGGAUAGCAUUGCGAGAAGUAUAGGCUCCGGGAGAUUUCUAGGCUGGAAAGCAGUGAAUGCGGAGGGAGCUUCGGGAGGUAUUUUUAUAUGCUGGGAUAGAAGGUUGCUGGACAUGCUAGACUGGGAGGAGGGACAGUUUACUUUGUCUUGCAGAUUCCGAAAUGUAGAAAAUGAGAUUGUCUGGGUAUUUACGGGAGUGUAUGGCCCUUUCUCUAAGGUAGAGAGGGAUGCUUUAUGGGAAGAGUUUGGGGCGAUUAGAGGGCUGUGGGAGGAUCCUUGGUGCAUAGGGGGGGAUUUUAAUAUCACUUUGUUUUCGAGUGAAAGGAGUAGUCAGAGGAGAAUUAGCUCAGCAAUGAGGAAAUUUGCGGAAACUGUGAAUGAUCUUGGGUUGGUGGAUCUUCCUCUUCAGGGGGGAGAUUUUACUUGGAAUGGGGGCCUAAAUAAUCAGACUUGGGCACGUUUGGACAGGUUCCUUGUGUCUCCUAGUUGGAUAGAUCAAUUCAGUGGGAUUAACCAGUGCAGGCUGCCCCGUCCGGUAUCUGAUCAUUUCCCAAUUAUGUUAGUGGGGGGUGGGAUAAGACGAGGCCCGACCCCAUUCAGAUUUGAAAAUAUGUGGCUUAAGGCUGAGGGUUUUAAAGAGCUUGUUCGUAGCUGGUGGCAAGGAAUUGAUGUUAGGGGCAGUGCUAGUUACAAGUUGGCUACUAAGAUGAAGGAAAUUAAAUAGAAGCUGAAAAUGUGGAAUAGAGAAGUAUUUGGUAAGCUAGAGUGCAACAAAUCUGCAGCUCUGCAACAGCUGGAAUUCUGGGAUAGGGAGGAAAAUGAUAGAAUUCUGACUAUGGAGGAAUCAGAGCUUAAGAAAGAGGCAAAAGAAAACUACAGAAAAUGGGUGAUUAUGGAGGAAACUCACUAGAGACAGCUUUCUAGGGAAAUAUGGCUGAAAGAGGGGGAUAGAAACACGGGUUUCUUUCAUCGUAUGGCAAGUGCUCACCGUAGAAAUAAUUUUAUGGAGAGAAUUAAGAUCAAUGGGGAAUGGUUUCUAGAGGAGCAGGAAAUUAGAGAAGGAAUUGCUAAUGCGUUUAAAGAGCUUCUUUCAGAAGAUACGGAGUGGAAGGCGGAUAUUGGGAGUCUUCAGUUUGAUCAGAUCAGUCAAGAAGAGGCUGAGAUAUUGGAGAGGCCUUUUACAGAGGAAGAAAUCCAUGGGGCUCUGAUGGAGAUGAAUGGGGAUAAAGCCCCUGGUCCGGAUGGUUUUACUUUGGCCUUUUGGCAAAGCUGUUGGGAGUUUAUUAAAGAGGAGAUUCUAGAAAUGUUCAAGGAAUUCUAUGAUCAUAGCUCUUUCCUCAAGAGCCUUAACAAUACUUUAUUGGUUUUGAUCCCCAAGAAAUAUGGGGCUGAGAACCUUGGAGACUUUAGACCUAUUAGUCUCUUAGGGGGUCUUUACAAGUUAUUGGCUAAAGUGCUGGCUAACAGAUUGAAGAUAGUGGUUGGUAAGGUGGUCUCUACUUCUCAGAAUGCCUUUGUGAGGGGAAGACAAAUUCUUGACGCUUCUUUAAUUGCAAAUGAAGUGAUAGACUCAUGGCAAAAACGAAAAGAAAAGGGACUUAUAUGCAAACUGGAUAUAGAAAAAGCUUAUGACAGUAUCAAUUGGAAGUUUUUGUUGAAGGUGUUGCAGAAAAUGGGUUUUGGGUCUAAGUGGGUGAGGUGGAUGUGGAGUUGUCUAUCUUCAGCUAAAUUUUCAGUGAUGGUUAAUGGAGUGCCUGCAGGCUUCUUUCCUAGCUCUAAAGGUCUUAGACAAGGAGAUCCCCUGUCUCCUUAUCUCUUUGUUAUGGGAAUGGAAGUGCUAGAUGUUCUUAUUAGGAGAGCUGUGGAGGAGGGAUUCUUAUCAGGGUGUAACAUAAGGGGCGGUAGUGAACCUCCUUUGAAUAUCUCUCACUUGCUCUUUGCUGGCGAUACCAUUAUAUUCUGCGAGGCCAGGAAGGAUCAUCUAACUCAUUUAAGUUGGAUUUUAUUCUGGUUUGAAGCGGCGUCAGGCCUAAGGAUUAAUCUAGCCAAGAGUGAAAUCAUUCCAGUUGGAGAGGUGGUGGAGAUGGAGGAGUUGGCUGUUGAGCUAGGUUGUAGGGUGGGGUCUUU
RNAcentral lists this long non-coding RNA (85200 nucleotides) under Vitis vinifera (wine grape). RNAcentral describes it as "long non-coding RNA (VVIN_LNC007234)". Lineage: Eukaryota; Viridiplantae; Streptophyta; Magnoliopsida; Vitales; Vitaceae. The record is from RNAcentral.